This 48176-nucleotide long non-coding RNA is filed under the name Nicotiana benthamiana. RNAcentral's name for it is "long non-coding RNA (NBEN_LNC038654)". Lineage: Eukaryota; Viridiplantae; Streptophyta; Magnoliopsida; Solanales; Solanaceae. The record is from RNAcentral.
UGGGAGAGUGGUGGAGUUGCAUUUGGGCUUUGUAGUAGGAUGGCCACAUACCUUGAGGAGAGUCCGGAGGGAUUUAAGAAUAUUAGUGAUUGGUGAUUGGGGUCUACGGAUUUAAUAUGAAGUAUGGGCUAUUAUGCGUCAGAAGACUUGAUAUAAUGGAAAGGAGUUGCUUGAAAUGAAGAAUGAUGCAACAUAACUUUAAAUGGGAAGGAUAUUGCCUCAUAUUUAAUUGAUGUCCAUGAGGGGUGAAAGGACAUAUGCAGCUAGAGGGUUAGCUCAGACUCAGGAUUGGUUAUUGAUGUUAUGGUGAUUGUACCCUGUGCAAGAACGUUAGAAGAUGUCGGAAAGUUAUUUCAAUGGGUAGGUUAUUCCAUGUGAGCAGUUUAGUGGUCGCGUGGUUGGCGAAGCUUCUGUGGAGAGUUCUAUUGGUUAUACAUCAAAGAGAUCUGUUGUGAAAAUGUGUUUGAAUGGUUCAGAAUAUAAAAGGGGGUUUUACAGAAAUAUUUUGAGAAUUUUGGCGGUUGACUGCGCAAGGUUGUGUCAAUAAGAGAUUAAGAAUCCUGUCGAAUUCCAGAGUUGUGUAAUAAAUGGCUUCGAGCCAAAUGCGAGAGUCCCACUGCCUACGAUUGGGUUGUAUGGUUAUUUUCUUGUGAGGUUUCGGCUUAUCGACAUAUUGGUAAGUUAUUUUAUCAACGGGAAAAGAGCAUAAGUGGUAAUUUGAGCAAAUGGAUUGUUAAAGGUGUGCUAUGUUGGCUCAUGUUCAAACUUGGGGAUUAAUUAUGUCGGGUGUUCCGUCGAGAGGGUAUGCUUGUGCUGGGAGAAUCAUUGAGUUGAUUAUAUUCGGGCCAAGUUAGAGUGGGCGGCUCUCAGCAAUGAUCCUAGUGGAUUAAAAGGGGUAAGGUGUGGUGCCUAAUGAUUUUGAGCUUAUAGUUAGUUAAGAACCAAGCUUGAUAGCAGCCUAUGAGAAGAAGCAGAGAAUGUUCUAUGAUGUUUUGGCUUGCGAUGUAGCAAUUGAAAGGUAUGAAAUGGUUUGUUAGAUUGGAGACAGCAUGGUCUCAUGAUUCAGGAUCAUUCGGGAUGAGUGUGGAUGGAGUGUGUUAAGUCUUGAAUGGAGUUAUCAUUAUUUCUAUGGCAAUCAAGAACAAAUUUGAAGAAGGGGGACUGGUUAGCCAUAGUCGAUUGACAUGUUGCUGGUAGUAAUCAAUUCUUUCAGAGUGACUAAGUUAUGUAAGUGAAUUGUGAUGGAGAUUGCGAGGCCUGUCGGUUGCCGUAGUUGGUGUUAUUCAGAAAUUAUUCUACUGUUGUGGCUUGUUAUGUGGAGGUGAGCCCCGGAAGGGCUAUAGUGGCCUAGACCACUACUUAGUAAUUUGCAUAUUCUACGGCCAUGAGAAUUCACCUGUGUGUCGCUAUGGUUCUCCUAAAGUGAGUUGAGCAAAAAGUUUUAUAUGAUGAAGUGAUAAUCUAAUAGUGGUUCUGAAUCUAUGAUGAAAAACGUGUUCUAUCGUAUAUUGGCAUGUUGAGUGCAGUGAGUAGUAUGGAAUUUGAAGUGAAUACCAAGGUUGAAGUUCGGUGUUGACAAGGUUGUCAUGAGCUCGGAUGAGCUGGAAAGGAGUUUCGAUGUUUGAAGUAAGAUGGUAUUGUCCUCAGCGUCUCUUGAGAUUGGUGGUUUGUGAAAAAGGCUUUGCAUCCCGGUUAAUGAUUCUUGGCCUCUUUUCAGUAAUAGUGCGGCACGUGGUUUGGAGGUAUGGCCCAGUUAUUUGUUAUGGUAGGUUAGGGGGAGUGUGUCCCACAUGGAGGUUGUAUGGCAUGUAGUCACUCAAUAGAUUAAAGAUUUAAACCGAGUAUGAAGGUUGUAGUAAUGUCGCUAAAUUAAACAUUGAUGCCUGGAGGGCUCAUGACUUAUUGAGUUGUGGACUGUGGAUGAUUACUAUGGUUGUGAUGGUUGUUCUUGUGUGUUAUGAGGAGAGGGAAGCUAGUAUGGGCCUUUGAAAGGUUAUUAUCCUACUGCAGUGCGAUCAGAAUCAUCUUGAGGUCUGUGGAUGGAUCUAAAUUGGAAUACGACCUCUAAAUUAGACCAUAUGUGUUCAUUUAAAUAAUGCACUCCUUAUGGAAGAGUAGUCAGGGCGUUAUUUUAUCGUCAUCCAUUUCAUGUAACGAUGUAUUGCGCCGCGCGAGUUGUGUGAUGGCUUGGUGAAUUUCUUAUGUGUUGAGGUUCCACGUAGAGGUAGGUUAUUGAACAAGAUGGCUCUUGAGAUUCAGAUCGUAUAUCACACCUCAGUUGUGCUUGAGUUUUGUAUCUUAUGGCGCAAUAUGUCUCCCCAGAGAUGAUAUCAUGCGCUUAGCGUACUUGUGACCAAUAUCUAGUAUUUUAUUAUAAGGAGAAAUUAAGCUCGAUGUAUAUUUCCUUAUGUGACUUUUAUGUAUAGAUCGAAUGGCACGCCAUCAUAGGUAUGUUAUUUGGAUCGAUUUGCGCGCCGCAACAGUGUAAUAUUGAAUACAAUUUUCUAUAUGCUAUUUUUAUUUGAUUUGUUUCCCAUUUUCUAAGAAAAGUCCAUAAUAGUGUGUGAGUUGAAUAUUUCCUUCUAGAGUUCAUUUUCUGUUGUAUCGCGUUCAAUAUGGUAGCCUACUUGCACAUUGUAGCAUCAUUAUAAAGCUUUUGAUCAACGGUUUAUAACCAGAGCAGUUCAUACUGGGUGAGACGAGAUCAUUGGAUUUAAGAUCAGUGCAAUCUGAUUAUGGGAAAUACAUUAAGAAGUUAAGACCAUUAUUCGAUUCAGAAUGAAGUGAUGGUUCUCGUAAGAAGUAUAGACCAAAUGAUUUGUUAAUUCGGUAGUUGGUUAUGAAUUUCUACCCAUCUCUUCCAUCGUGGUGGUAUUAUAAGAGCUAGAGCAAAGCCUAAGUAGGUCAUGAGGUGCAAUGGGAGCAUCAGAUUUGUGGAAUUUCGGUUUAUUUGAUCAGAGAAUGUCAUUAUGGUUUUGUGAGUAAAGUGGUGCAAGGUGUGAAUUUAGCUAAGGUAUGCAGCCAUGUUUUGGUGCUGCGUGUAGUUAUUGAUAUGGUGUUUAGAUAUUAGAAGCAAGCCUGAUAGAGAAUUUCGGAUAUUGGAAUUAGGCUCUAAGCUUAUUUUCUUGAAUGAUAGGGGAUAUCUUCAGAAUCAAUAGAGCUAAUGUGCUCAAUUGGGUUGUGGUAGCACGGGAAGGUGCAUGAGGUGUGAAACGGUGAUUUCAGACUACUGAAGUGUAGUUCUCAGCACGUUCGAGGAUGAACCUAUGUUUAAGUGGGAGGGAAUGUAAUGACCCGAUCGGUCGUUUUGAGCUCUAGCGCGCCGUUCAACAGUUUGAGGCCAUGAGAAGCUUCAUUUCAGGUGUUAUGACUUGUAUGCGUGGUUGGAAUUAAACUUUGGGAAGUUCGAAGUUGAUUUGGAAAGAUAAUUCUCAUCUCGGAAGCUUUAAGUUGAAAGAAUUAACUAAGAUUAAAUUUUUAAGUAAGCGGCCUCGAAAUCGGGAUCUAAAGGUUCCAGCAGGUUCGUAUGAUGAUUUCAGACUUGGGCGUAUGUCUGGAUUGGGUCUUGGAUGACGCAAGAGCAUUUUGGCACCUAUUGUGGAAGUUAGCAUUUUGGAAGAAAUUUCAUAAGUUUGGCUUGAAGUGCAUUUCAACAUUAUCGAUGUUCAUUUGGGAUUUCGAGUUUCUCAAUAGCUCCAUAUGGUGAUUCUGGAGUUGGGAGCACGAUCUGAAGUGAAUUCAGAGGUCUGUAGGUUGGAGUUAUUUGGCUAAAGAUAGAAAUUUGAAGGUUUUUGAGAAGUUUGGCCGCAAGUGUACUUUAGAUAUCGGGGUCGGAAUCCGAUUUCGGAAGUGGCAGUAGGUCUGUAAUGUCAAAUAUGACUUGUCUGCAAAAUUUGAAGUCAAUCGGACAUGAUUUGAUACGUUUAAACAUCGAAAGUAGAAGUUGGAAAUUUCAAAGUUCAUUAAGCUUGGAUUGGGGCGAUUCAUGGUUCUAGAAUUGUUUGAUGUGAUUUGAGACUUUGAGCAAGUCCGUAUUAUGUUUUUAGACUUGUGCAGGUUUUUGGUUUGGAGCUCUGGGGGCUUGGGUGUGAUGCAGAAUAGCUUCGGAGUGCUAAGAAAUAGGAUUGCUGAUACUGGUAUGAUCUCAUUUGCGAUGCAGUAGUCACAAAUGCGACCUCGCAUUUGCAAGUUUCCGUUCGCAUUAGCGAGCUUGGGGUUCUAGGGGAAAGUUCGCAUUUGCGAACGAGGGAUAAAUUUUGCAAGGUUGUCGCCUUCGCAAUUGCGAAGGAUAUUGUCGUAAAUGCGACCAAGACAGGGUGGGCUAGGCUUCGCAUUUGCAAUACAAUUGUCACAAAUGCGACAUCGCAGUUGUGAGCCUAGAGUCGCAAAUGUGAUUUCUGCGUUUGGAGCUGUGGAUUUUUAUUCCGAGACUUAGCCCAUUUCCCUCAUUUUACACUUGGCCUUAGGCGAUUUUUGAGAGCAUCUGAGGAGGGAUUCCAUCAUCAUCAAAGAGGUAGGUAAUUUCUACACAUCAUAAGUUAAAGACAUAGAUUAUGGGUAGAUUUAACAUGUGAAAAUUAAGGAAAAUAAAGGUUUUAGAUGAAAAACCUAGAAUAUGGUAAAAACUAGAUUUAACCGCGAAAAUUGUUAGGGAAUGAAGUAUAAAUCAUAUAUUCUUGAUACUUAGUUUAUGGGUCAUAAUUUACUUCAAAUAUUUUCGGAAUCCGGGCGCGUGGGCCCAAAAAUGAAUAUUAGGAACCUUGUAUUUAAAGUUGGGAAAUUGGUUUAAUAAUUAGAAUAUGAACUUUUGAGCAUGUAUUGACUAGUUACCCUAUUUGAAUAGUUUUGGAGUGUUCGGCUCCGAAUCUGGAAGUUUGAGCUUGUUCUUGAAUCGGAAUAUAGGCUUCAGAGCAAGGUGAGUCUCCUUUCUAACCUUGUAAGAGGGAUUUGUCCCCAUAGGUGAGUUAAUUGGUUAUGUGAUCCUAUUUGUGAGGGCUAUGUACGCACGAGGUGACAAGAGUCUGUGCUUAGCUACUAUUAUACUAUUGUCCGGGUAGUCUAGGGCCCAAAAGCAUGAUAUACUUGGAUUAUUUGUGAAUUUAUUGACAGCUUGAAUUGCUUAAAUCACGUCGGAUUAGUAAAUGCAUUUCUAAAAAGAUAAAACUUCAUUUUUCUUAAUUGUUUAAAAGAGGAUUUGUUUUCAUUGGAUAAUUACUCUGUGUGGACUUCUUGAUUGAUUGGUUGUGUGUGUUUAUUUUUGAAACGAGAAGAGUUUGUGCGUAGCUACUAUUAUGCUAUUGUACGGGUAGUCUAGGACCCAAAAACAUGUCGUACUUGGAUUAUUUAUAAACUUAUUAACAACUUGAAUUGCUUAAAUCACAUAGAAUCAGUAAAUGAAUUUCAAAAAGGAUUAAACUUUAUUUUUCUUAUAUAAGUAAAGGAAAAAUUGGCUUUUACUGAAACAAACAUUUCCCGAUAAACUCUUAAUUGGCUGUUUGACUGUGUAUAUCUAUAUAUGUUCCCCCGUCACAUGUAUGAUUCGUGAGCGGGAUAUUUGUUUAUUUAAUGUUGACCGCGUCGCAUGUAUGAUACGCGAGCGGGGUAAUAGAUUCAUCUAUGGUUCGAGCCGUUCGACCCUCGGCAGUGCACAAUUUACAUUCCUGUUGGACCGAGUCAGCUCGACAUGAUUUGCACAUACUUGUAUUUCUUGCCUUGAGAUUAUUUGAGAUUGAUAUUUUCUCUCCCCGACUUGAGAUAAUUGGAAACAAUUGGAUCAUGAAUGCGAAGACUUUUAAUAUAAAAAGGAACUUUCACCUGGUCAUUGCUUACUUGAAUUUACUAUCAUUCUUAAUAAUUCCUUGGUUAUUUGCAUUAAUAAAAUAUCAUUAUUGGACUAUUAGUAAUGUCAAAGUCGAUCAUCUCGUCUCUACUUCUUCGAAAUUAGACGGGAUACUCAUUGGGUACACGUUGUUUUCGUACUCAUACUACACUUCUGUGUAUUUUUGUUGAAUAGGCACUUAUAUCUCUAGUGGCCUACUGGGCGUAGUAGCAUGGUUGAUAUGGAGACUUAGGUGAGCUGCACUUCUCGAGACGACCCGCAACCAGCAGAGUCUCUUUCAUUUUUUUCUGUAUUUAUUUAUGUCCAAUAUUAUAUUCCGGGUUGUUGUAUUGUAUUAUUUCCUAGAAAUUGCUCAUGCACUUGUGACACCGGGUUCUGGGAUGGUUAUAGAAUUAUUCAAUAUUGUGUUGGUUAAAGACAUUUUUCUUAUUUCAAUAAAUUUCAUUACUUGAUGUUUAAACGUAUAAAAGGAACAUUUUCAAUAAGUUUUAAAAACAAGAAGUUUCUAGUUAUUGGUUGAUAGCUUGCCUAACAGCGGUGUCCGGCGCCACCACGACCCUUAAAGAAUUUUGCAUCGUGACAACAAUUACAACAGCAACAAUGACAAUAUAUACAAGAACACGACAAAUGAAUAAACUCAAGAACUUUCGUUCACUAGGAGACGAAAAAACUAGCUCACAAGGAAUAACCAUAAUAGAGAAUACUAAGCAUAAUAAGAACAACUCAACAAGGGAGAAAAUAAUAUGAAGCAACGAUACCAUAAUUUGUAGUUCAACAACAAGGAAGUCAACAUGAAUCAAAUAAUUUCAAAUAAGGAAAUGUCAAGUAAAAAUAGGAUAUCUAAACUUCUUUUAAAGUUGGACAAGUUACGAAGGAUAUACAAUAAUUUUCAAUUAAGGAUGAGCAGCGUGAAAAUAAUCAUACCCUCAAUUAAGACUAAAUAAUUACAUGAGAGAUAGUAUUGAUUUUUGAUAAAGCCAAGCAGUUAUGAAAGAUAACAUGACAAUAGAGGAGGUAAGGUUCUUCAGUGCAUCAAAGUAAGAGUCAAUUAGGCAAAUAGAAUGAAUCAUAAAGCAAUUAAUUCCAAGUAAAACAUGUAGAGGUGAAACUGGUAAUAGGGAAUUCAAUCAUUCAAGAACAACUUGGUACUCAGUGAAUAUAAGGAUCUAAGAACCCUGAAAGGCCAAUUUUUCCCCAAAUAAGUCCGAACACACUCGUCACCUUGCGUACACGGAUUACAAUCAAUAGAGAAGACUCAGAUCUUAAAGAGAAGUCCCCCACACAAGGAUAUGCAAGAACUUACCUCGAACCGACUCAAAAUCAACUAGAAACCACGUUCUUGCCACGAGUACUCAACUCCAAAUGGCUCAAAAAUAUAUUCAGUUUAAUUUCAUAAUGUAAAUAAUAUUUCAAGUAACCGAUUCUACAAUUAAAUUCUAAACGAAUAAGCAAAAUUAUGUAAAAUGACUAAAAUGCCCCUUGGGCCCAUGUCUCGGAAUCGGGUAAAAUUUAUAUUUUCGAAAACCUCAUACUCUUAUGAGCCUCGCUAUACCAAAAUUAUCCAAAUCCAUUGUCAUUUGGUCCCCCAAACCAUGAUUUUUUUUCACUUUGAAUUUUUCUUCAAAAACCAACUCUUUCCCCAACCCAAAAUACAAUUUAAAUGGUAAAAAUAAAGAAAAAUUCAUGGAAUAUAUUUAAUUCUAUUUGAAGAACACUUACCCAAUCAAAUUUCGUGAUAAACCCAACAAAAAUCGCUAAGAAUCGAGCUCUAGAAGUCAAAAUGUGAAGAAAAUGGUGAAACCCUUGAGUUGGAAAACUUAUAUUCUGCCUAGAUGUUUAAAGCAUCCGAACGCGGAGGCAAUAUCGCGUUCGCAAAGAAGAAAAUGAAGGCUGCCCAGAUGUGCUUCGUGAAUGCGGAAGAACACACGUGAACACGAAGAAGGAAAAUAUUAUGGCCCGGAGAUUGCUCUUCGCUAACGUGUGAACUAGUCCGCGAACGCGAAGAGUGGAAUUGCAUAACUACGCGAACUCAUGAUGGGAAAAGCAAACGCGAUGAGGAAUAAAGAAGAGCAUUGCGAAGGUGAUAAGUGUUACACGAACGCGAAGAAGAAUUGCCAGGUGGUCAGCAACAAAGCUUCGCAAACACGAAAGGCUAUUUGCGAACGCGAAAGAGGAUACUAGAAGCAGAAAACAACAGUUCAAAAUAGGAGAAAAUAGCCCGUUACCCACCCAGAACAAACUCGAGGCCGUCUGGGAUCUCAACCAAAUGCAUCAACACAUUCUAAAACCUUAUUCAAACUUGUUCCAACCUUCGGAAUGCUAAAAACAACAUCAAAAUACCGAUUUUUCAUUGGAUUCAAGCUUAGAAAUCUCAAAAACUCUAAAAAUAUAUUUUCAAUCGAAAAGUCUACCAAACCUUGUCCGGAUGAUCUGGAAUUUUGCACACACAACACAUUCAGCAUUACGGAGAUAUUCCAACUUCUAGAAUUCCAUUUCGGCCCUCGGGUCAAAAUCUCACUAUCAAACCGGAAACUUCCAAAAUUCAACUUUCGGCAUUUAAAGCCUAAAUUAGCUACGGACCUCCAAAAUACAAUCCGAAUACAUUCCUAACCCGAAAUCACCCAACAGAGCUAAUGGAACCAUGGAAUUUCCAUUCCAAGGCCGUCUUCAUACUGUUUCGACUAUGGUCAACUUUCUAAUACUUAUGCUCUCAUUCUGAGAAUAAGUGUACCAAAAGUCACCGAUAUUUAAAAUCGAACAUCCCGGCAAUUCUCUUUUAGCAGAAAUAAACUUGAGGAAAGAAAUUAAUAAGUAAUUGGGUCAUUAAUUCCUAAGACAACCGUCCGGGUCGUCACACAAGUCACUUGCAAUUUCCUUCAAGAUUUUCAAGAUUCUAUCCAAGAUUGGUUUGGGACUUAUUCCUAUAUAUUAUGCGACAAUAUUUAUUGCUUUCCUAGUUUAUUAAAUGUUUUCCUUUUACUAAGAUUUUUGGAAUUACUUUCCAAGAAUGACUUGGUUUUUGCUUCCUAGUAUUUUCCUUUUCCUAAGGUAGUUGGAAUUUUGUCCAAAGUAGAUUAGGACUUUAUUUCCUUGUUUCUUAGGUAGAAUUUAGGGGUGUUCAUAAAAGUUCUAAAAACCAAACCAAACCCAAAAUCGAAACAAACCGACCAAAAAAUCAAUACGUUUUAGGUUUGAUUUGGUUUUGGUUUUGAAUUUUAAAAAUCGAUCAAAAUUGAUUUAUUUUUGGUUUAAAUAAAAAAAUAAUCGAAAAAACCCGAACCAAAAUGACAAUAAAAGUAGCUAUUUAAAUUUAUUACUACACCUAUAUAUAUGUAUAUUUUUAUAUAAAGUUUCUAAAAUUUUAUGGCACAUAUUAGUCAUUUGUAUUAUUUAAUCUAGUUCUUUGCUAUAUAAUCAUCUAAUUCUUUACCUUUACAUUCUAGUUUGAUGCAUACUUUUAUUUUGCUAAAUACAAGAAUUUAUUUCAUGUUAAAAACAAUCAAUUUUUAAUUGAGUACUAAAAUUAUUCAUCACUAUUUGAUUCAAUUAUCAUCAAUAUAUCUUGGUAAAUGAUAGAUUUCUCAAAGAACAACUGGUUUGAUAAUGUUACGUUGAAAAUAUAGUCGCCGAAAUAUGUGUUUGAUGGUGUAUGUCUCAUAUUUAAGAAAAAAUACGAUAAAUAACCGAAAAACCCAAAUCGAUAAAAAAUCGACUUAAUUGGUUUGGUUUGGUUCUAAUAUUUAAAAAUCUGACUUACUUGAUUCAGUUUAUUUUUAGGAAAAAAUCGACCCAAACUGAACCAUGAACUUCCCUAGGUAGAAUUUCGCGACCCCCUCUAUAUAAAGGGUAUCUUCUUUAUUUUUAGGCUUAGAUUAUUCAGAUUAUUAUCAAUAAAAAUAGUGAGAUUUUUCUUGCAUUCUUGUGUGUGGCUACUCUAGGAUUUAUUCUUCAACCUUCAAGACUCAACAUAAGGUGGUAAUAUUAGACUCUUUCGAAAUCUUAGAUCACUUCUAGGUAUUCAAGAAAGGUGAUAAGUUUAGGCUUAUUGUUGUUCUUGUUAUUCUAAAGGGUCGGGUUCCACAAUCUAUCUCUUGUUUUUAAUUUUCUACCAAAGGCGAUUAGUUCUUUGUUAGCUAAUUGUUGUUGUUAUGAUUCAACUUCAAGAAUAGACUUCUUGAAUUCAAGAAACUCUUUCUUGAAUUCAAUCUAUUUUUAAUUUUGUCUUCUUUUUUGUUAUUUAUUUUCUUUUAACUUCCACACAUUUUUUGAUUUUUUUUAUUUUUCUUUAAUAAUUGUUGAAUCUCCUAUCGUAUUGUUAUCAUGUCGUUUUUUGUUUCUUUAAUUUCUUUUAGCUUCAGCACGUUUCUUGAUUUUCUUGUUUUUCUUUAGUAACUCUUGAUUCCCCUAUCGUGUUGUUAUCACCCUAGAUGAGAUCUUUCCAAGAUAGUUUCUUCCUAAAUUCAUUGGUAAGUGACUUUAAUCUAUUUCUUUUCAAUUAUCCAUUACAUUUUAUAAAUUUUCAACAUAAAACCUAGAAUUUUCAUGGUAGAAAUUAUGGAUUUUGCUAGAAUUAGGGAUUUUUGUCAAUUUUGGAUUUACUCCUGGAAUUGAGGUUGAAAUUUGAAACUAAUUACAUAACAGAGCUCGAGGGUGAAUUGGUGAUUGGGGUUUGGUCUGAAUCUUACUUUUUGACCAAGCGGACCCGGGUUGACUUUUUUUGAAAUCAUUAAAGAUUUCAAGCGGGUUUUUAAUGAACCAUGAGCAUUACAUCGCAUAAAGUUUAAAGUUGGCUUAUUGAAGAUAUUAAAUUUGGUUUGGAGUAGGUUUGGUGUUAUCGAGGUCUAUUUGGAAUCUCGAUCCAUGGAAUAGUUUUGUAUGGUGAUUUAAAACUUGCAUACAAAAUUUGGUGUUCCAAGUAGUUUGUCUAUGACUCGGCGCGUUCGGAGCAAGUUGGAAGAAUUUGAAGUUCAUAAGUUGUUUCAAUUUGGUUUUGGGUGUGAUUCCUAGUUUUGGUGUUGUUUCUCGUGUUUAGAGAGGUCGACUAGGUACGCCUUUUGUGAACUUAUUGGUAUGUUUAGGCAAGGGCCUCGAGUUUCAUUCAGACCAUGCGUAGACCAAGUUUGGACUUAAUAGAACUAUUGGUGCAUCAAUUUUGGCCGCAGGUGCGAGCUUUUGGCUGCAAAAGCAGCCUGGUGUGGGCUGCCCAGUGGUCGUAGAAGCAAGAUAGGGGGUGCACCUGCAAAAGCGCAGGUGCGAAUCAGGCAAAGGUAGAAGCGGGCAAGGACGCAGGUGCGACACGUACGCCGCAGACGUUGGCUCGCAGAUGUGAGCCAUUUUUUGCAGAUGUGGAAGUAGGCAGCUGGGGAAAAGCCUCAUCUGCGAUUCAUUUUUCGCAGAUAUGGAGCUGCAAAAGAGGAAAUUGCUAGAGGAAGAAAUGUUCUUUUAAGACGAGACUUAGGCCAUUUUGGUUCAUUUAUUCACUUCUUGUGCAAUAUUUGAAGCUUCUUAGAGAGAGGUUUUCACCUAGCUAUUAAAGGUAAGUAAGUGCUAUCUAAUGUAAGUUAAAUACAUAAAUUAUGGGUAUAUUUUAACAUGAAAAAAUUAUGGGUAUAGAUGAAAAACCUAGGUUUUGAUAAAAAUGAGAUUUAACAACGAAAAUAAUUAUGAAAUUGGGUGAGAAUGAUAUAUUUGAGUUUGUAAGGUUAUGGGUAAUAAUUAUCUUCGAAAAUUUUCGAAAUUCGGGCACGUAAGUCAGAGGGUGAAUCUUAGGAAUCUUCCAAUUAGGGGUGGGUAAUUACCAUAAUAGUUAAAUUAUGAACUUUUAAGUAUAUAUUGACUUAUUUAUAUAAUAUUAGGCUAGUUUCAGGUUGUUUGGAACCGAGUUGAGGAUUUAAAGCGUAUUUGUGGGUCACAAGUGAUCUUAAGAACGAGGUAGGUCUCUUGUCUAACCUUGUAAGAGGAAACUCAUUCCCUUAGGUGUAUUUUGUUGUGAAUUACUUGUGUGGGAGCUACGUACGCACUAGGUGAUGAGAGUCCGUGCGUAGCUACUAAUUUUCUUAUGUCCGGGUAGUUUUAGGUUUACAUCAUGCCUUAAUUGUACUAUGUCCGGGUAGUCUUAGGUUUACAUCAUGCCUUAACUGUACUAUCAUAUUUGUUAUGCAUAUUAAUUAUCUUGAAUAGAGAUGCGACUAGAUUUUAAAGUUGGAAACUUCCAAGUUAGAUUUCUUAUUUAGGGGAAAUAAAUAAAGAAUAUUUAGUAACUAUGAGAAAUCCAUGUCUUGUCACGUCACAAGUACUUCUGCAAGCGAGGUAAGCUUCUCUUUUGUCAUGGGAGCGGGCCGUUCGCUUCGGAAAUUUAAUAACUGCAUCUAUGCUUCGUGUCGUUCGACCCUUGGCAAUGCACAUAGUAUAAUUUUUGAUCGUGCCGUAAGAUUUUAGCAUAAAUUAUGCGUGAUAAUACUCAAACCCUUAUUCCGCUUGAUAUUGUUUUAUGGCUUGAGAGGCUAUAAUUUAUUUAAUGAUAGAAAUUUAAUUGGGAUUAGUAUAUGUUGGCUAGAGAUUUUUUGGAAUUUAUUUUUCAGUUAAGGAACCAUUUAUUCACUGCUUAUUAUUAUUAUUAUUAUUAUUAUUAUUAUUAUUAUUAUGUUGUUGUUGUUGUUGUUGUUGUUGUUGUUGUUGUUAUUAUUAUUAUUAUUAUUAUUAUUAUUAUUAUUAUUGGGUCUAUGUAGUAGCUAAAGAAAUUCUUGCUAUAGUUAGAUGUGUUACGAAAUUUCAAACUGAUUUAUACAAUAAGAAAUUCUUGAUUAAAAUUGAUUGUCAAGCUGCAAAGUUUAUCUUUAAUAAAGAUUUUAAACAUGAUGUUUCAAGACAGAUGUUUGCAAGGUGGCAAGUUUUAUAGCCCCUUUUGAUUUCGAAAUAAUAUACAAAAAAAGGUCUGAUAAUAUUCUUCUUGAUUUCCUUACAAGAGAAUAUUUGAACUAUUAUUAUUAUUAUUAUUAUUAUUAUUAUGAUGAUGAUGAUGAUGAUGAUGAUGAUGAUCAUCAUCAUCAUCAUCAUCAAGUUACAUACUUGUUUAGAAUUUCUCCAUUUUAUUAUUGGCCCAUAGUCAGUGUUGAUGUCGGUCCCUCGUCACAAUUUCUCCACUUCUGCACUAACUUGUGCAGGAUCUAAAGUAGGUGCAUGUAACGACCCGACCGGUCGUUUUUAGCUUUUGCACUUUGAUCGCCAGUUCUCGGGUAUGAAUUUCCCCGUGUAAUGUAUUAUGACUGAUGUAGAUCAUUGGUUUUGGUUUUCGUGAAACAUUUGGAAUGAAUUUGAAAGAACAAUCUCAGUUGAAAGCUUUGAAUUUGAAAUGUUUGACCAAGAUUUGACUUAUUUGGAUAUGAGCCCGGAUCGGAAUUUUUAUAAUCUGGUUAGUUUUGUUGGGUGAUUUAUGACUUAGGAGCGUGAUCGGAAUUGGUUUUAGAAGUCCGGGGUAGAAUUAGGCUUGAAUUGGCAAAGUUGAUAUUUUGACGAUUUCCGGUUGGUAGAUGAGAUUUUGAUCCGAGGGUCGAAAUGGAAUUAUGAGAUUUUCAGUAGCUUCGUUAUGUCAUUUGGGAUGUGCGUGUAAAAUUUCAGGUCAUUUGGAUGUGGUUUGGUCGGGUUUUUGAUCGAAAGUGUAUUUCAGAAGUUUUUGGAAACUUAGGCUUGAAUUCGAUGAGUUUUGGAUAAUUUGAUGUUGUUUGAGGUGUUUUGAUGAUUGGAACUGGUUUGAAUAAUUUAAUGGGAUACGUUGGCAUAUUUAGUUGAGGUCUCGAGGGCCUCGUGUGAGUUUCGGGUGGUCAAUCGGACCACUUUGUGCCUUAAAAGAUAGCAGAAAAUUUGCAGGUUCAGAGUUGCAGGAUUUUUGUUCUCUGCGAUCGCAUAAGAAACUUAGGCUUGAAUUCGAUGAGUUUUGGAUAAUUUGAUGUUGUUUGAGGUGUUUUGAUGAUUGGAACUGGUUUGAAUAAUUUAAUGGGAUACGUUGGCAUAUUUAGUUGAGGUUGAGGUAGUUUUAGGUGGGUGGUCAAUCGGACCACUUUGUGCCUUAAAAGAUAGCAGAAAAUUUGCAGGUUCAGAGUUGUAGGAUUUUUGUUCUCUGCGAUCGCAUAAGAGGUCUUGCAAUCACAUAAGAGUAUCUUUGGGGGUUGUUCUAUUGUUCAUUGCAUUCGCAUAGUAUAGCUUGCGAUCACAUAGUUUGGGGAAAUUGUUCUUCGGCGAACGCGGUUGAGGCUUCGCGAUCGCACAGAGUAAAGUUGACCUGAGGUCUUAGUUGGGUUUUUUUCAUCAUGAACGCGGCCGCGACCGCAUAGAAUUAUUUGGGCAGUGCAUUGCGAUCACAUUGUGUUUGGUGCAUUCACAUAGAGUUAAUUUUGGAAGCUGAAGAUUUGUUCUUCACGAUCGCGAGGAAUGUUCAGCGAUCGCAUAGAAGAAAAUACCCUUGGGCAGAAUGUUUUUAAAAUCAUCUUGUUCACGAAUGUGGGUCUAUUUGGCUGCUCAUUUUUGGAGAAUUUUGAAGGAAAAUAAGGAGGGAUUCAAGAGGAAUCGACUUAAGUUAAGAAUCUUGGUCUUAAUACUUGAUUAUAUUGUGAUAUCCACCUAGAAAUUCAUGAAAAUUGAAGAACUAGGGCUUGAGAUUUUGAAAUUCUAUUUAAGGAUUUGAAAGAUCAUUAGAGGUCGGAUUUGUGAACUUUUGGUAUGUAUGAACUCAUAAGGAGAUAAAGAAUCUAUUGAUGUGAACUUUUUUGAGUUUCGAGAAGUGGGCCCAGAGCUCGGGUUUUGGUAAUUUCGGGAUUUAUGCCCGUUAUUGAUUGUUUUCGCUUGGGUUUUGUUCCCUUAGCAUAUUGUGAUUUAUUCACUCUGAUUUUGGAUAGAUUCGACGUGUGUGGAGGCUGACUUGAGGGGCAAAGGCCUUGCGAGCUAGAGAUUUCGCCGGUUGGAGGUGAGUAAUGAUUGUAAAUGAUGUUCUGAGGAUUCGAGACCCCGGAUUGCACAUCGUAGUGUAUUGAGGUGACUUGCACGCUGGAUAGCGAGCGUGGGGCAGAGCACCUUUGGGAAUUGCGACUUGGUCCGUCCCGAUUGAUGAUUUUACCGUGUAUUUGACUUAAACUUAUUUGUUAUCAUCAUGACUUGGGUUGAUUGUCAUAUUUGGGCUUUGUGCCAGCUAUUUGAACCCUUUCGGGGAUGAUUGUUGAUAUUUCCUCACUGUUUUGAGUUUAUACUUUAACUCAGUCAUGUAUUUUCCACUAUUUUCAAAACUCAGCCAAGUUUACUUUGCUUUAACACUUGAAAUGAUAUUUCUAACAAUAUUUAUGGGCUGAGCAUCAUGUUUUACUGUUGCCUGAGAGGCUUAUGUAAUUUUUGACUGAGUAAGGCCAAGGGCUUGUGUUGUGAGGAAACUUUUGGAUCGAGCUGCAUGCCGCAGUAGUGAGAUAGUGAUACUGAUACGAGGCUGAAGACGUAAAUUUGAUGCCACGAGAUAGCUUGAUAUUGUGCUUGGGCCGUAAGGGGAACCUUCCGGAGUCUACACACCCCCAGUGAGUGUCGUCGAUGAUAAAUGGAUGGGGCUGCACGCCGCAACAAUAUAUGGAUCGGGAUGCACGCUGCAGCGGUACCAUUUUAUGUGUUUACUCAUUUAUUUGUCUGUCAUUAUCUGUUGUUGUGCUAUUUCAUGUGAUAUCUUUCUAAUUGCCUGGCAUUUUCUAUUGAGUGAGUUUUGUGCCCGAAUGGCGGAUCUCUAUGGUUAUCUACACAAAUUGUUUGCAUUCAUUUGCAUAACUGUUUGACAAGGGCAUUUUCAAAAGAGAUUUAAACUAGGUUAAGAUGUUUUUUAAAGAUUUCACAGCUUCAUUGCUUUUCUCUAGGGGUUUUAUACUGCUUCUAUACAUCAUGAUGAUUUGCCUUACGUGAUUCUCUUACUACUCAGUUAUUUAUUUACUCAGUGAGUUGGAGUACUCACUUUACUCCCUGUAUCUUGUGUGCAGAUGUAGGUAUUUGUUCACCCGGUAGCAGAUUUUGGGCUGAUCGGAGGAUAAGUUACCGGAGUUUAGCGAGGUGACUGCCAGCGUUCGUAGAACCACAUUUUUUCCUUUGUUUAUUAGUCCUAUUUUUUUUUGUAUUUUAGACUCUGUAGUUGUAUUCAUAUAUUCAUAGAUGUUCGUGACUUGUGACACCUUGGUUUAGGCUGUGUUGGGUUGUACUCCCACUAAUUAUUAUUAUCAUUAAAUCAUAUUUAAACUGCUUAUGAACUAUUUAAUUGUUCAAAAGGGUGAAUUGGGUUUAGUUGGCUGGCCUUGUCCCCAUGAGAGGCGCCAUCACUACCGUGUCCGCAUUUGGGUCGUGACAGUGCAUCGAGUAGUCCUCCGAUGCGCACCCUUGAUACUCCGAGACUUAGUGGUGAGAUGACUUCCGAGUCUGUUCUGUAGCACCUUAAGUCUCUAUUUUGUAUUUGCAUUCUGUCUACUCUAGUUCAGACAAUAAUUCAGUGUUGUAUAUUCGACUAGUAGCUCAUAUACUUGUGACAUCAGGUCUUGGAAUUAUGCUAGUAGAUUUUAUCACACUUGUUCUUAUAUUUGAUUAUACUUUAUUUUAUUAAAUUUUUCACCCUCUUAUUUAUUUAACAAUAAAAAAUCAACUAUUUUCAAAAUGUUAAAAAGAAUAAAUACAUGGCUAGUUCACCAUUGGCUUACUUAACGACGACGUUGGGCGUCAUCACGAUCUAUAGGGAAAAUUGGUUCAAGACAAUUUAUCUCUCAAAUUUUUGUAUUCAUUACUACAUGGUAAAAGAGAGUAUUAAAGAACGAAGGGUGAUUCCGUACCGUUUCAUUAUCUCAUUUACUGAUUAAUACAUAGCGAGAAAGAGAAUUAAAACGUGAAGGGUGAUGUUGUGCCAUCUAUAUCAUUAAUUCAUAGUUAUAUGCUGAGAUUGAGAGCAAAAGCACGAAGGUUAAUGUCGUGCCCUCAAUAUCAAUUAUUCAUUGCUACAUGGGCAAAUUGAGAGUAAAAGUACAAAGAGUGACGGCGUGUCAUUUUAUUUUACUUAUGUCAUAAUUUCAUGGUAAGGAUGAGAAUAAAAGCAUGAAGGGUGAUGCCGUGCCAUCUUAUACCGUAUGUUCUAUCUUCAUUGGCUAAUGAGUUAUUUGGCUAUCUUGUGAGGUCAUAUCCGUCAUAGUCAUCGUAUCUUUUCCCCCUUCGCAUGUCCCCUCCCAAUUGUACAUUGUUAAAUCUCGGUUCUGUUGUUAUUUUGUACAUAUAUAUGUGAACAACUAUUUUUUACCACACCCAAAAUCUAUUAUAUUUUAGUGUAAAUAUUUCUUUUAAGUCUAAUUUAAUAUUUUAAAAUUUUUGAUCUUACUCUUAAUAUAUUUUAUUUAAAAAAAUAAUUAAAAGAAACUACAAAAACAUUUAGAUACUUAUAGUACAAAUUUGAUUUCUAUUUGUAAAGAAAAAAAUAUUUACAUAUACAUACAUAUAUAUAUAUAUAUACAUAUACAUACAUAUAUAUAUAUAUAUAUAUAUAUAUAUAUACAUACAUAUAUAUAUAUAUAUAUAUAUANNNNNNNNNNNNNNNNNNNNNNNNNNNNNNNNNNNNNNNNNNNNNNNNNNNNNNNNNNNNNNNNNNNNNNNNNNNNNNNNNNNNNNNNNNNNNNNNNNNNNNNNNNNNNNNNNNNNNNNNNNNNNNNNNNNNNNNNNNNNNNNNNNNNNNNNNNNNNNNNNNNNNNNNNNNNNNNNNNNNNNNNNNNNNNNNNNNNNNNNNNNNNNNNNNNNNNNNNNNNNNNNNNNNNNNNNNNNNNNNNNNNNNNNNNNNNNNNNNNNNNNNNNNNNNNNNNNNNNNNNNNNNNNNNNNNNNNNNNNNNNNNNNNNNNNNNNNNNNNNNNNNNNNNNNNNNNNNNNNNNNNNNNNNNNNNNNNNNNNNNNNNNNNNNNNNNNNNNNNNNNNNNNNNNNNNNNNNNNNNNNNNNNNNNNNNNNNNNNNNNNNNNNNNNNNNNNNNNNNNNNNNNNNNNNNNNNNNNNNNNNNNNNNNNNNNNNNNNNNNAAAACUACCAUAUAUAUAUAUAUAUAUAUAUAUAUAUAUAUAUAUUGUUGUUGUUGUUGUUAAUCAGAGUUAGUUAAUUAAUAUUUUUAUCCAAAUAUUUUUAUUGAGCACUCACCCCAUGACUCAUAUGCACCUCCAUAUUCAUGUGACAUACUCUCACAAAAGAUAAUAAAAUGAUAACUAACUCCUUAAUUCCCUUUCCCUUUGUUGGAUUUAUUUUUUAUUUGGUCGCGGGUUGCUCUAUGUGUGAUGAUCUAAUCCAUUUAUGAAUUUAUAAGAAUAAAUAAUCUCUUAUGAGAAAUUAUUUCACACGUUUUAAUUUUGUGACAGCAUAUUUUACACGAUUAUUUUUUUCUCGUGGGAGGAAACAAUUUUUCUUUCUUAACCCUAAAUAAAAGGAAAUAUGCUACUCUUGAAAGAGUUGUAGAAGAAGAAGAAAAAUAUAGAAAACUAAUCUCCUUUCUCUCAUAAGAAAUACACAGAGGAUACUUAGUUUGUGAAAAGUAUUUCGUUUCCAAAAAAGACGAAAUCGAACUUGAGCAAUUUGAUCAAAGAUUUUCCUUUGCCGCUUAGAUGGCAUUAUGUAUUUGCCUAUUUGCCAAAGUUUAAUGGGUCCUGUAAGGCACUAUAAACGUAGUUUCUAUGGUAAUUAUGAAUUCUACAAUUUUCCUUUCCUUAUCUUGUUGAGGAAUAAUAUAAGACUUCAAUCAUAUGUACAUCUGGUUAACAAAAUCAUUUAUCAACAUAAUCUAAUUGCUUGAUACUAGUUAAUGGUAAGUGCUUUACUCUUAGUUGUUGUCAAAGCCUUACUAUUAAUGAUAUCUUGACAUUAAGUAAUUGGAGAAUUAUUUCAUUAAAUUUGUACCAACAUUUCUAUUAGGAGGAAACAGAUAGUGUGCCAAUAUUGAAUAGAAAUAAUAUUGGAGUCAACUUCUUUAAUUGUUCUAAUUUUCAAUUCGGCAGUAAACUGUGAAUAUAGAAUCAAUGGCAUGAAAUUAACUGCAAUAGAGUUUUUUUCCAUGGUCUUUAAUAUAUUAAGAAUUGACUUGUGUAUAACUCCUGAUUUCUUAAAUAAUUCUAUUUUGGUUAGUCCUAAUCCCUUAAAUUAAUAUCCUUCUACUAGUAAUUGUGAUACGGGUUGUCACAUUGAAUAGUUGUAGCAAUUCCAAAGUGUUUCCUUGGUCCUAUUUCAGAUAUGACUGAAGAAGGACAAGUACGAAUUACUCCAAGUGGGAGUUCUCGAAGUCAAGGAAGAGGACAACAUAGAAGGGUACGUCGCCGCAUGACUUAUUUCUAUAAUAAUUCAUCGGAGCCUGAAGUUAUCAGAAAUAUCCCAAGGGCGAGACAAAAUCGGUUAAUGAAUCGAAGGGUUGAACGAAGGGAAAGAGAAAAGAAAUUUAGGGAAUUUAAAAUGUGCCCUGAUGUUUCAGUUCAUGAACAUGUACACAUCUUUAAGAUAAAAAGAGCUGGAUUAGCUAAUUACGUAAAAAAUUUUGAUUAGGAAGCAUUAGCUAUUUCAGCGGACUCUCUUCGAGAACCUUGGCGUGAAAUUUUAACUUAGAUUUAUCAUGAUGGUUGUCCUAGUGCACCUUUUAGCGUAUAUGAGCAAGAGUUAGUGUUCGAUUCGUAUAUGGAUGUCCUAGCAAAUAUGUAAAUUGUUAUUAUGUUUUAAUGAAAUUUUUAUUAUGAUUUUUGUCUCACUAGUUACAUACAUUGUUUAUUAUAUCCUUUUGUAAUAGACUGAGACUUAAGAUGUGUACUAAGAAGUGAUCUUAGUAUUAAUUAAAAAUAUUAAGAUAUAGAUGAUGAAUGGAAAUGUAGUGAUUGUUCGAUUCUAUACUAAAUAUAGAAUUAAUAUUAUAAUUAAUUUUUUUGAGUGUGUAAUCACAUGCAUAUAUUAAUUGAAGUAUAUAUUGAUGAGCUAAACUUAUAAUAUUGUCUCUAAUAACAGAUAUGGCAUCAAAAAUAAUCAUUGCUGACUUGAAUAAGGGGGACAAACUAAAUGGUAAAAAUUACAAUAUCUGGAGUCGUAAGAUGUGGUAUGAACUCGAAGAGCAAGAUGCUUUUGAAACUAUUAAUCAUGUUAUGAGUCACCCAGAGGAGGGUAACACUGCCCAACAAAGGAUGAUCUGGAAACUUACAAUGUUUGGAAAAAGAAAGAUUCCAUUGCACGUGAAAUUAUUGUAAGUUCAGUUGCUGAUGAUUUCAUCCACGAAUAUGAGCAAUAUCCUACUGCUCAAGCCAUGUGGGCACAUUUAAGUGAGGCAUAUGGGGGUAUGACUGUGACUCGCCUUCGACAGCUGACAAUCAAGUUUGACACGUAUAAAAAGCAUUAUGAUCAUGGUGUUAAGCAACAUCUAAGGGUGAUGUCAAAUAUGAUUGCUCAACUCAAAAAUGUUGGCCAUGUUCUCUCUGAUGAGCAGCAUCUUCAGGCUUUGAUUCGGUCUCUUCCCAAUAAUUGGGAACAUUUGAAGGUUAACUUGACCCAUAAUGAUAGUAUCAAAACUUUUGGUGAUGUUGCAUGUCAUAUAGAGCUUGAAGACGAGCGGCUUGGUGCUGCUAAAGCUGUAUCUAAUGCCUUUGUGGCAGAAUCAAGUGGUACAAAGAGAUCAAGCUUCAAGCGCAAGAGAAACUGAAAAAAUGACAAAAAGGGUAAGAUGACUGGAGAAGGACCCUCCAAGAAAAAAAAAGCCAAAUUCCAAAAAAGGAAAACGAUUCUACAAGAAGAAAGACGAUGGUAAGAUGAAGUGUUACAAUUGCCAAGUUCCAGGGCAUUUUGCUCGUGAGUGCACGAAAUCGAAAAAAGUAGCAUUUCAAAAUGCAUCUCUUAGUGCUAUAAAUGUUUCUAACUGUUUUGCUAACUGAAUCUUAUCCUGUGUGAAUUAUAGACUCAGGGGACACCGACCAUGUGAGCCGCGAUAGAGAAGCGUUUAUAGAGUUUUGUGGAGUUCCACCUGGAUCAAAGCAUAUAUAUAUAUAUAUACAUAUAUACAUAUAUACAUCAAUACUUACAAUGAUCAGUCUACACAUAGCAGUAGUGUGUGUGUGUGUGUGUGUGUGUGUAUAUAUAUAUAUAUAUAUAUAUAUAUAUAUAUGUAUAUAUAUAUUGGAAAUAAUGCUAAGCUUGAAUUCAAAGGAAUAGGCACUUGCAGAAUGGGCAUGCGUGGUGGCCGAACUUUGAUGUUGCAUGACGUCCUAUAUGUUUCAGAGAUUCGACGAAACUUAGUAUCCGUGUCUGUUAUUCUAGAUUUAGAUUUCAAUUUGAACUUUAGUCGUAGUGGUCUAAAAAUUACUCAAGAAAAUACUUUUUUAUGGUUUUGAACAUCGUUAUGAUGGUUUUAUUGUGUUAGAUUGUAAUCCUUCUACAUAUAAUUAUUAUAUUGACCGUUGUGUUAUGGCAUGUUAUUCUAGUAACAAUGAUGUUGAUGUUACUACGUGGCAUGCAAGAUUAAGUUACAUAGGCCAGGAUCAAGUGAGUAGAUUGGCUAAGGAAGUACAUCUAGUUCCUUUCUCUAAAAUUAAAUUGCCAACUUGUGAAAAUUGUCUUGCCGGAAAGAUUACACGUAAACCAUUUGGAAAGUCUGUGAGAGCUUAUUUUCCAUUGCAACUAAUCCACUAUGAUAUUUGUGGUCCAAUGAAUGUGAUGGCUAGGUCUGGUGCUUUAUAUUUCAUUACGUUCAUUAAUGAUUUCAGACGCUUUGGUUAUGCCUAUUUGAUCUCUCAUAAAUCUGAAGCACUUGAAUGCUAAGAAAUAUGUGAAUGAAGUUGAGAACUAAUUAGACAAAAGGAUUAAGAUCUUAAGAACCGAUAGAGGGCGUGAAUAUCUUUCAAAAAAAUUUGAAGGAUUGUGCAAUGAAAAGGGAAUCACCAGAUAGUUAAUUAUCCCAUACACACCUCAACAAAAUAGUGUAGCUAAAAGGAGGAAUAAAAUACUACUAGAGAUGAUAAGUUCCAUGAUGGCUCAUACAAAUUUACCUAUCUCCUUUUGGGGAGAUGUGUUAUUGACUGCAACUUAUAUAUUGAACAAAGUACUUUCUAAAUCAGUUUCUUCCACUCCUUAUAAGCUAUGGACUGGUCACAAAUCAAACUUAAAGGAUUUAUGACUUUGGGAUUGUGCUAUAUAUGUAAAAGAUUAUUUUAGCAAGUUUGGUAAAUUAGGUCCAAAAGGCAAGAAAUAUAUCUUUAUAAGAUAUUCAAAACACUCCAAAGGGUAUGUGUUCAUUGAUGAAUUAGAGGAUAAAAGUUUUACUGAGAUUGAAUCGUGAGAUGUCACAUUUUUGGAAAAUGAUUUUCCAAAGAAGGGUGAGGUAAAUAAUGGAGAGCCUCUUUAUGAAAUGUUGAACUGAGAUAGUCAGCAAGUGUCUUCUGUCACAGUUGAUAAUCAAAUUGAUCAAGAUCUUAUUUUUGAUCCGAGUGAGAGUGGGAACUCUCAAUCCUAAAAUCCUUCUGGAAAACCUGAAUUUCAACUGCGAAAGAGUGCCAAAAGAAAUAUUCCCAAAUGUACUUGUGAAAUUGAAGAUUGUAUUUUCUUGAUAUCUCCUAUAGAAAUGGAUGAGCCAAAGUCUGUGACUGAGGCAUUAUCGAACCCUGGAAAAGAUUGGUGGAUGAAAGCAAUAAAAUGAAGAAUUAGAGUCCAUAAAAACUAACAAAGUUUGGAAUCUAGUUGAUCUUCUGCGAGGCAUAGAGCCAUUGGGAACAAAUGGGUUCUCAAAGUUAAACACAAAAUGGAUGGGUCAAUAGAAACAUACAAGGCACGAUUGGUGGCAAAAGGCUUUACUCAAGAAGCUGGAAUAGGUUAUGAAGAAACAUUUUCACCAGUUAUGAUGUUUACCUCAAUUCGCUUACUUUUGGCUAUUGUUGCACGUUUGGAUUUGGAAUUACAUCAAAUGGAUGUGAAGACAACUUUUCUCAAUGGAGAACUAAACGAAGAGAUCUACAUGGAACAACCGGUAGGAUUCAUCGUUAAAGGCCAAGAAAAGAAGGUUUGUAAAUGGCCUGAAGCAAUCUUCAAGGCAAUAGUAUUUGAGAUUUCACAAGAAGGUGAUCUCAUAUGAUUUCACCAUGAUCAAUAAAGACCAUUGCAUUUAUGUGAAGAAGUCCAAUGGAAUAUUUAUAAUUCUUUCUCUUUAUGUGGACGAUAUUUUAUUGGCUGGAAAUAAUUUAGAGUAUUUGAAAACUAUCAAGUCAUGGCUUUCAAAGCAUUUGACAUGAAAGAUAUGGGCGAGGCAAACUAUAUCCUUGGAGUUAAGAUCCAAAGAGACCGUUCCAAAAAGUUAUUGAGUCUAUCUCAAGAAACUUAUAUAAAGAAAAUUUUGGAGCAUUUUCACAUGAAUGGUUGCAAAUCUAUGGAUACUCCAACAGUGAGAGGUGAAACUUUAAGCCUUGAAAUGUGUCCUAAGAUUGAAAAUAAAAAGGAAAACAUGUCUCAAAUUUCAUAUUCAAGUGCUAUCGGGAGCUUGAUGUAUGCUAUAAUGUGUACUCGCCCAAACAUUUGUGCUGCCGUAGGUCUGGUUAGCAAGUAUCAACCCAAUUCUAGAAGAGAUCAUUGGAAAGCUGUGAAGAGAAUUUUCAGAUACCUAAAGGGAACUGCAGAUUAUUCAUUAUGUUAUAGUAGAAAUGAUUUAUACUUGAGAGGAUAUACAGAUGCUGAUUGGGCUAGUGAUCGGAAUGAUAGAAAAUCAACAUCCGGUUAUGCUUUCUUACAUAACGAUGGUUCUAUAUCAUGGAAAAGUAAGAAACAAACCUGUACAACCCUUUCAACGAUGGAAGCUCAGUUCGUGGCUUGUGCAUCUACAGUACAAAAUGUUGUUUGGUUGAAGAGAUUCUUUGAGCAUUUAGAUAUAACAAAGAACUCUCAGGGUCCGAUAACUCUAUAUUGUGAUAGUCAAGCGGCUAUUGCAUAUAUAAAAGAUUCAAAGUAUCACAGUAAAACCAAACACAUUGACAUCAAGUAUAACUUUGAUAACCAGCCAUAAAAUUCAACCGAAAAUUAUAAUAAUCCUAAACACCAGUAAAACACCAGGUGAAGCAUAACUAUUUGGUUUCCCGUCGAGGUUUAUGGAGCAGCGAAGUUGUUAUAUUUCAUGUUUUCGUACGUGUAAGUGCGCCAUAAAUAAAUUGAUAUAAGCUAAAAAAUGAUAUAUUACAUUUCGUAUUUUUGUACGUUAAAGUUUCAUAAUAAAUUAAUCGAAGUAAGUUUGGGAAUGAGAUUAUUUUGAGAUUAUAAGUAUUAUGCUAUUUCAAACAAGUGAUGAGUAAAUUCGUAAAGGUGAGAGGAUAACCAAAUCAAAGAAGAUGAAUUUUUUUCAAAGUUUGACAAGUUAGCUAAAAUACUGUCCGAGUUAAAAUACUCGAUAUUUAUGGACUAAUAUUAUAUAAAAUACUACAUAACCAUGAUAGUAAAAUAUAUAAAGUGUGUUAAAAGUUAAAUAGUAUUUUGUGUAAUUUAAAAUAAUUUUUAAUUAUAUAAAUAAUUGGUUAAUUGUUGAAUUAGUAAAAAAUUACCAAGUUAAUAGGUAAUUAAUUAAGACAUUUUGAAUUAUCUUUUGGACGGAGUCUUGAAAUUCAACGUGGCAGCAACACAAGAGUGAACAAGUGACUCUUAAGUGAUUAGGAUAGGUGGCACAUUAAGGGGUCUUUGGGUAAGAUUUAUCCCCAAAUUUUUUUAAAGAGAAUUAAGUAAGAUAUAUUAAUUCAUGAAAGUUCAAAGAAGAACCAACAGAGUUAUAUUAAUGUUGUAGGUGAUUUUAUAUCGUUUUAAUAAUAAUAAUUAUUAUAUAACGAGGAAAAUUAAUUGUUAAUUAAUAAGGAUUAGAUCACGAUGCCAUUAGUUUUUUUGAAUAAAACACGUGAAUGACGAUUUGUUCUUUUAUUCUUUAAAGAUUUCGUGUUUCUAGUUGUGAUUUGUUGAGGUAUUCUAAUUCUUAAUUAUUUUAUUACAUAGAUAAUGCUGAAAUUUAUUUUAGCACACUUGAAAAUUAUUAACAUCUUAACAAUAAAGAGAGAUGGUGAUUUAGGACGUAUAGGUGAUAACCAAUUAUUUUAUUACAUCGUCAUCUGUCUAUAACUAAUUUGCACUUCUUUCACAAAUAGUUUUAUAAUUUAUGUCCUCGCAAUAAUUUUAAAUUAGCUUAGAAAAAUAACUUAUGAGUACGUUAGUAUGUUUUCGGAGCACACUUUUAAUUAAAUUAUCGUGAUUAUGCACACGUUCAAGUAACAUAGUUAUAAUUUUUUAAAUUAAAGGUAAAAUAUGCGUUCACACGACUUUGAUAAGAUAAUUAUAAGAAUUAUAAAGUAUUAUUAAUUGUAUAUACAUACACAUGACAAGAUUCUUGACAUACCAAAAAAUAAAUAUACGUACACGUGAUUCGUUUUCAGAUAAUUUCAUAAUCACAAAUAAUCAAGCAAUUAAAUGUGAUUUAAGGCAAAAGUGCAAAAAUUUUCCGACAACAUAAAGUAUCUAGAGUUAGUUAAGAGAGAUAUAAUUAUUAAUGCGACCGUUCUAGAACCACGGAACUUGACAGUACUUCACAUUUUUUUCUGGGUUAACAGAAUUCCUUACAUGGUCUUCUAUAUUUCACAGACUUAAACAUAGUCAAUUUUCGUGAAUUGGGAUUUUAAAAUAAAUAGUGACUUAGGAUACCUAAAAUAUUUAUUUCAAGUGGCGACUCUUUAAAAUAAAACAAAUUAAUCUAUUUUUCAAAUAAUGUCACUUAAAUUGAAAAAACUCAUUUCUUUCCAUAACUUUCCGGAAAAAAAGAAAUGUGACAGUCUGGCUACGCUGUUGGGGAACAUAAAUAUAUAACUUCUGGUUUAGGGUUUAGAAUUCAAGCUUGUAAUGUGAUAUAUAGUUGGCAUUAUUGAUUGGAUGUAAUUACUGCAUUUGUGGGCCUAAUGUGCUAAUUGCCACUUAUUUACUGCUUUGAUAUUAUUUUAACUGUAUUAAAUUGUCUUCUUAUGCCUCCUUUUGAGUCUUUUGAAUUUAUAGUGCACACGUGCAUAUGGCCCAUUUUUCUAUUAGAGGUAGUACCUAUAUUAGAACGGGGUUAGUUCAAUAACUAGGUCGGGUAGACUUUUGUGCUCCUGGUACGUUGCUCCUACCUCGGCUCGAGCUUUUCGUUUGAGUAAGUUAGGUCUAACACACUUCUCAUAGGAUUUAAAUCUAGAAUAACAUAGCUUCAUGGGGGAUCUCUAGUAGGAACAGUUGUUUUCAUCAUGUACAUUUAAUUUUGCGGACUCAGCACAAGGGUUGAGUCCGUCUAGGACAGGUGACUAGAGAAUUACAAGACCAUCCUGAUGCAUCUUAUGUUCUACAUGUACAUUAUGUUUGAUUCAGUUUAUGCAUAUUGAUCGACUUUUAAAAAAAAUAAAAAUAAAAAUUGAGAGAAAAGAAGAAGGAAGAAAAUAGGGGAGAGAAAAUUUACACGAUUUUUGAAAAUUCUUGGUGUUUGAAAAUUCAAAAACCGUGUCAAAAUUUUACCCCAAACAGAUUAUUACAAAAUAAGCUUGAAUUUUUCAAAAAGUUUCAUCCCAUUCCUGAAAUAUUUACCGAAAUACACUGGUUUAAUUCUCAUCGCAUGUGAAAUAGUAGGCAACCCUCAUCAGGUCUGGUCCCCUAAUUUUCAAAAAAAAAAAAGAAAGAUAUAUUUUAUUUUUUUCUUUAGAAGUCUUUCUUUAAAAAACUUUCACAGAAAAAAAAAAAGUUAGUUUAUUUACUUUAUUCUUCAUCUUUUAAAAGUACGUAAUAAUCUGAUUUAUGCAGCAUCAUGAUACGUAGGAAAUCUCCAUCGAAUGCGAUCAUAGCCAAAAAUAAACUGGUGAAAAACAAAAAAAAAAGCUAUGUGAAAAACAAAAAAAAAAAAAAGAGAAAAAGAAAGCGACGAACCCAGAAUGUUAAAAUCAAAAGACAAAAAAGAAACGGGAAAUGAAAGAAACAAGGUAUAGAGUGGAAAAGGGUUAAUUAAAAUCGGGAUGAAACUCGCAACCGUUCAAAUACAUGAUAAAAAUAUUUAAUUGUCGGGUGCAUUUAACAAAUGCUUUGAACUAAUAAAUUUGUUGUGUCUGCCCAAAGCUUAAGUUCUGUUUCAGGUGAAUGGUUUUGUUGGUACCAUGUGUCUGCCCAACGUCGCUAGACAAGCCAGUGGUGAAUUAGCAUGUUUUUAUUCUUUAUUAUAAUUUCAAGGCGGUUGAUUUUCAAUUUAUUAAAUAAGUUAUUAGUGAAAAUUCAUAGUAAAGUAAAGCACAAAAUGUCGAAAGAGUAAAUACAGUGAAUUCAACACUCAAAACCAUAGGUGUCUACUAUAAUAUUCUUAGAACUCAGUAUCACAAGUGUACGAGCAACUAGAAAAAUAUAAAAAACCAUCUAAAUUAUUGUCUGGAAUAGGAUAGAUAGAAAAUAAAUAUAAAACAGAGACUACAGGUGCUGCAAAACCUACACAAAGAGUAGCUCACUAUUAUUCCUCGGGGUAACAAGGGUAUGCGCUUGAAUUACUACCAGAUGCAUUUGGCUCAAAUCCUGCACUAUUAGUACAGAAGUAUAGCGUAAUUACAUAAAUAACGUAUACCCAGUAAAUAUUUACUCUAACCUUAAAGAAGUUGUGACGAGGGAUUAACAUUGAUAUUUACUAUAGGCCUAUAAAUAAGUGCAAAAAUUCUAAAUAAGGUAUGGAAUACAUCAAUAAUCAUAACGCAAUAAUGAACAGUAAAUGAGUGAUUCUAUAGCUAGAUGUCGAUUUAAGAUUUCCCCUUAACACAUACUAACUUCAACAAAUAUGAACUAUCAAGUAAAUUAUAAAGUCUCAAGUCAUGGAGGUAAUAUUAAGUAUAAUCGGACUACGAUCAUUAUUACGUACGAUUUAUGUAGAGGUCCUAAAGUCCGAUCAAAAAUAAUAUGUACACUGUCGAGGGCUAAUUGACACGAAUCGUCGAUGUAUCUAUUAUACCGCCGAGGCAUUCGGUCCGCUGCACAAGAAGAGGGAGUACUCUACUAACUCUGAUUAAACGGUUAUCACAAGACUAAUACAUAAAUAUGCACAAUUUCUACUAAAGUUCGGUCUUUACGAAUCCUUUAUCAAGUUUCAAGAUAAUUUAAGCACUUAAAUUAACAAGUAGAGUGCAAAUAAUACAAGUAUUUCAUGAUAGGAUCCUAAAAGUACCCGGACAUACAUGAUUUGUAGUUGCGCAUGGAUUCUCAAUACUUUGUACAUACAUAGCACCCAUAUUAGAAGCAAAUAGUAAUUUAUAAUACUUAUGGGAUAAACUCCCCCUUACAAGGUUAGGCAAGAGACUUACCUCGUCCUCAAGCUCAGUUUUUGGUCCACAAAUUCGCUCUAAAAGCCUCAAGUUGGUGUUGAACAAUCCAAAACUAGUCAAAUAUUAUUUAAAUUAAUCUAUAUAUACUCAAAAGUUCAUAAUUUAGCUUCUAAAGUCAUAACCCAACCAAAUACAGAGAUUCCUAAAAUUAGUCCCGGGGCUCACCUGCCCCGAUUUCGAAAAUUUUCAAAGACAAAUAUUACAUAUCCUCACGAACCCAAAUAUAUAAAUUCUACCCGAUUCCAUAAUCGUUUUUGGUGUCUAAUCCUAUUUUUUUCAAAGACCUAUGUUUUUCCACUAAACUUAUAAUUUUCACAAUUUUUAUGUUAAAAUCUAUGAUUAUGCAUGAUUUACUCUCAUAUUAUAUAGAAAUUACUUAUAUCCAAGUGCAAGGUGAAAAGCUUUCCUCAAAGAGCUCUAAAUUCGACCAACAAGUGAGAAAAAUGAGCCUAAGUCCCGACUUAAAUACAUUUUUGCUCCUAGUGGUUCCGCUUCUACAGAAAAUUGGAUGUUUUUGCGAAAAUGCAUCGCAUAUGUGGUCCUCCAAAAGUUUCAUCCUUGUCCUUGAGUAGAGUUGAUCUUCCUACGUAGUAAGAUUAAAUCAUAUUCAGAAUCUUAGAUCACUUCUACGUAUUCAAAAAGGGUAAUAAGUUUGGGCUUAUUGUUGUUCUUGUUAUUCUAAAGGGCUGAGUUUUACCAUUUUUGAAAUCUUAGAUCACUUAUAGGUAUUCAAGAAAGGUGAUAAGUUUAGGCUUAUUGUUGUUCUUAUUAUUCUAAAGGGUCGGGUUUCACAAUCUAUCUCUUGUUUGAAUUCUCUUCCAAUGGCGAUUAGUUCGUCGUUAGCUAAUUGUUGUUGUUAGGAUUAAAAUUCAAGAAUAGACUUCUUGAAUUCAAGAAACUCUUUAUUGAAUUCAAUCUAUCUUUAAUUUUCCGUCUUUUUUUGUUUUUUAUUUUCUUUUAGCUUCCGCACGUUUCUUGAUUUUCUUGUUUUUCUUUAGUAAUUAUUGAAUUCCCUAUCGUGUUGCUAUCAGUGUUUCUGGUGCCUGAGUCGUGGCUAGGUUUGCUGGUGGCACUUUGGUGGCUGCUCGCGUAGGUGCCCUGGCUGCACCCCGCGUGCGUCCACGACCCCUCCCCUGAAUCAUGUAUCUUUAAUUCUCUAUCAAAGGCAAUUUGCUCUUCAUUAGCUAAUUUUUGUUGCUAGGAUUCUAACUUCAAGAACACAAUUCUUGAAUUUGAGAAACUCUUUCUUGAAUUCAAUCUAUCUUUAAUUUCUGUCUUUUUCGUUUCUUUAUCUUCUUUUAGCUUCCACACAUUUCUUGAUUUUUUGUUGUAAUUAUUGAAUCCCUGUCACGUCGUUAUCAAAUUGGUUGGCGAAAAAUUAUAAUAAAGUAAAGCGCAAACUACUGAAAGAGUACAUACAUUGAAUUUAAUGCUUAAAACCAUAAAGUAUCUACUAGAAUAUUAGAUACUAAAAAAAAAGAAAAAAAGAUCUACUAGAAUAUUCCCAAAAUAUGGUGUCAUAAGUGUAUGAGCAACUAGUAGAAAAAAAAACUAUAUACACUAUUGUCCGGAGUAGCAUAGUUAGAAAAUAAAUAUAAAAAAGCUGCAGAACAAACACAGAGUGCAGAUCAUCACUAUGUCUCGGGGUAAUAGGGGUAUGUGCCUAAAUGACUUCCAGAUGCACCUGCCUCAGAUCAUGCACGAGUAGUGCAGAAGUGUAGCAUGAAUACAUAAACAACAUGUACCCAGAAAAUAUCUAUUCUAACCUCGAAGAAGUAGAUCAACAUCGACACUUACUAUGGACCAAUAAAUAAAGUGCAGAAAUUCUAAAUAAGGUAUGGAACACAUAAAUAAUGAUAAUGCAACUAAUCGGACUCCGAGCAUUAUCACGCACGACUUAUGUUAAGGUCGUACAGUCCGAUCCAGAAUAAUGUGUACAUUGUCGAGGGUCGGCCGCCGUGAACCAUAGAAGCAUCUAUUAUACUGAGCAAUUUAUUUUCUUUUAACAUAUCUGAAGCACACCAUCCCUAUGACUAUGGUUGAUAGCAACAAAUAAACUUUAGCGCCUUCAACGCACACUUCCUUGUACUUUAUGCCAUACUUCAACAAAUUAUUCAACAAAAAGAUAACAUGUUCAUAACAAUCCUAGCCUACAAACCUACUCAUAUCACAAUGCAUUCGUGGCUUGAACACUUAACAACAUAGAGACAUCUAAUAAUGUCACAUAUCCCUUGCAAAACAAUGUGCCUUCACCACAAUAAUAGGAGAGUAAGUUGAAUCCACACAUUAGGAUCAAAUUCUCAAAUAUAUUUUAAUGACUCACAUAUAUCAAAACAAUUCCUCACUCUCGCAAAGAUGUCACAUGCACACACAAAGUACCAUAGACUUGCCCAUUAUGUAAACCUCCACUAAGGUUGGUUUACUCGAUCUAAAAUCAAGUAGUACUUUUCCUUAGUUGUAACGUGGGGCUAAGGGAAGGGUAUGAUAUAUUUUGGAUUAGUGGUUCAUCCUCUCAAGCACUUUAACAUAUAAUAUAAUAAAUUUCAAACGCAAAUUCUUCAAUCCACUUCAAUUUCAUAAACAAGAUCACACCUCAAAAAUAUGUCUUUCUUUAAGCACUACUUUACUUUAUACCCUACUAGCAAGAACAAGACAAUAAUUUAUUCACCACAUUUACUUUCUUUUCUUCUCUCUUUCUUUUCUCCUAUUAUAUUUCCUUUUUCAGUUUUCGCUAGUGGUGUAUUACUUUACAAAACAAGUGCACCAUUCUUUCAUUCAUUGGUUCCACCCAAAGCUACCCCACACUUAAUCCUUAUUUCUUCUAGCGUUCAUUUCAUAAUUAAAGUGCUUUAAGAGGUAAAAUAAUUAAAAUAUGUCAAAGAAGAAUAAAAUGAUAUAGGCUUGUAAUAUUGGUGUAAAAUAAAAGUCUAUAGGUUCAAAGGGUUUAUUAGGGAUAGAUUUUAUUUGUCGUAGACAUUAUGUCCAAAAAGGUAAAAAACAAAAGCCUAAAAUCAUUUUUCUAACCAAUCAAGCCUAUGAUUUCACUUCAAUUAGUUACAAUGAAAUGGACUACACAAGAAGAUCCCAACGGCACGUGACUCAUUAAGGACGGUUCCAUUCUGAGUCUCAAACAAUUGCAAGUACUAACAGAGCCACAGAUUAUUAAGCAUUAAGCACAAAGUGACACAAGCCAAGAAAAUGAGACAUAGGCAUCAAUAGACAUAUUAUCUAACUCUACAAGGCAUCAUAAGAACUUCAAACCAUAGGGAAGGUAAUACACAUCUAGCCUAAAUAUGCUACUAUCAAACAAGUCAAAAGGGUGCCUAGAAAUUUCAUCUUCCUUUUUUAUUCCCUAAAUUAUAUUUUACUCUAUAAAUAAAAAACUAUGAUCCAGUUCAAACUACAUCUCAUAAAAAAGAAUCGAAGUACAAAGAAAAAUCACAGGGGAUCAUUACUACCUAAAAAAUAAGUAAAAACAAUUUGUUGGAUUUUUCUAUUUUUCUAUGUUUUUGGUCAGAAUUUAAACCCUCAAGAAAAUUGUCUAGGAUAUUCGUCAUCGGAAAAAGUCCAGUCUUAUCUAUUUUUCUAAAAAAAGUUAUUCAACUAAACUAAUACAACUAAAAUAGCAUAGAAAGUCACCUAGAUAAUCUCCUCGCCCCAUACUUAAGAUUCUACAUUGCCCCCAAUGUGUAUCAUACUAAUAAGAGGGUAAAAGAAACUCUCUGGUAGGCCAAAGGACGAAGCACUAGCAUCUCAUGGGGUACUCAAACUUCUCCCAUGCUGUAUCCUUCGUGGGGGUACCUUACACUUAGUUCCAACCAUCUGGUUUGAUUUUUCAUCCUUCCAAUAGCUUUGCUUUCCAUGCUCCUAUAAAAAAACUACACUACGAAAAUAAUAUAAUAAAAAUUAAAGAAAUAAAAACAAACUAAAAAAUAGUAAAGUUGGGGGUUGCCUCCCAACAAGCGCCUUAGUUAACAUCGUGGCAUGACAUGAACCACUUUUCGCCUCCACUUCGGACUUAUGAAUUGGACCCUAAGUCCUGAUUCUGCUCUAUAAUCAUGCUCUUGGGGUGAUACAAGAUGUUGCGAGCCAUAAUUAAAUGAUUCUUUAUGCACUUUUUGGCUUUCAACCAAGGAGUGUCACCUUGCCUAGACGACCUUGAAAAUUUCACAAUAUAGGGCUCAUCCACCUCUUCCUUUGACUCUUGCAUUGGCUCAUACAGAUCAAUUCUCAUAUCUCCUUUCGAACGCAAUGUCGAAAAAUACUUUGAGUAAGGACCAAUAUGCUCAAACUGAAAAUUCAACUUGUUAUCAACCUCCUAUUCUUGCCACAAACUAGAACCAAUUAAAAUUGUAUCUGUAAGGUCCUUAGUUGACUCCAGUACCAUUUCUUCAACAUCGACAUCAUCAAAUCCUAGUUGGUUGGUUUGGUCAAAUUCUACUCUUAACUUCCAUUAUAAUGGUAAUUUCUGCCCCAAUUCAUGCUUUUCUUGGCUACUAUCCCAAUACGCUUGUUGCGCUUUACAAGGCUCAAUUUGCUAACUCACUUGAGUUUCUAAGUUGUGAAUAUUUGCCUCUUGACUUUGUAUCUGUGGUGGUUUUUCAUCAUAUUGUUCCACCAGACACUUAUAUCUAUGAUCUCCUUCAGGUCAGUACUCCCAGGUACUUUACUCCUAUUAACUUCACAAGAAAAAGUAGAACCAUCAUUAUAAGGAGUUAGGGUAGGAUAAGAAAUACAAGCACAAUCAUAAAAGUGACCAUCUUGAAUGCCACAAUCAUCACAUAUAUACAUAAGAUUGAGUUGGUGCAUAUAACUUGCUCUCAAAAAUAUUUUGACAAUUUUGCCACUGGUAUUUUACUCCAUAAUAAGCACAAGGAAGAUCAACAGUAGAAUUACCAAUGUCGAAACUCCCAUAGUUCUAAGAUUCGAUGUUUCUAAAAUCAACAAGUAAAACUAGAAUAAAAAAAUCAAAUACUUAAAAAAAAUUCAAACUUGAAAUAUAGUAAUAUGUACUACUACAACUACACCAUUAGUUCCCCGACAAUGGUAUCAAAGUUUGAUCACGCUCAACUCUAGUCCUAAAAAGAAUAAGCGGUCAUUACUAAUAUAAUCCGGUCUAAACAUACGGAGUCAAAUCGCAUAUAGAACUAAACUUAGCUAUAACUUUUCACUAUCACUAAGAAGACAAGUUUGAACAAAUUCUGAAGUUAUAAAGAUUGAGAUUUUAUUUCUAAAUAAUUAAAGUAUAAUUAUUAACUAAAGAUACUGCGGUUGGAGAAGAGAUUAAGGCGGUGUAAAGUAAUAAUUUCUCCAAUUGUCGGAAUCCUUCCCCCUGCGUCUUCUAUAAUUUUGUCUAAGUAUUCUCUACUUAUCGUGAGUACUUCUGUAAUUACCAUAAUUUACUACAUAUAUUCUCUCGAACUACACUAGUUGGUAACUAAUUCACCACUCCCUAUAAUCGCACCGAGGUUUCAUUAUCUCUAAUCCUGCCUUUAAACACUCCUUAUUGAUCUCUCACGUACAUUAGGAGUGAUGUUGUUCAACAAUACCUAAAUGUGUAUUUUCUCUCGAGCAAUAUACACGGUAAAUAGACACAGUUAAUUGAGACACCUUCCAUCAACAACAAUGGAAAUAUAGUUGAAUAAGUAGAGAAAGAUGAAGGGCAAAUGUAUAUAAAAACGUAAUAAGAAUUCAUCCUACAAAAGGUUCCAUCAAAACCCUAGAUAACAUAUUAGUCAUUUUUAAUAGUAUGAAAAACUAAAAUACUAGAAUUCAUGACCAAAACUGAAAAUAGGAAGAAGGACGUGAAAAAAUCGUAGAAGAAUUCUCCGCCUUGCUCAUAAUGUGUUUUUUCCUCCUUAGGUCGAAAUCCCUUCUCCAAAAACGUCCUCCUUUAUUUCAAAUCUGCUCUGAAACACCCUUUGUUUCUUGGACAUAUUUAGGAAGUAUUCAUAGGAUAGGGUUUGAGUGCAAAUCUGGAUCGAAAUCCUUUUAUUCAUGCAAUUUUGAUCAUCAGGCUAUAGACCUCGGGAGACCAGGCUUAUUAGCGGGGUCAGUCUGGCUAUAGAGUUGGCUACGUCUGGCCUGUAGCGUGGUCAAGCUUGCUAUAUACAUGGCUAUACUUGGCUUGUAGCACAAUAAGCUGGCUAUGCUUGGCAUGUAGCCAGGCUUUGGUACUUCGUACUUUUGUGCUCUUUUCUCAUAUUUUUAUCUUUUUUUGUGUAACUCUCACUUGCUUUUGUCUUUCGAUGCUCCUACACAUUAAACAACAUAAUUUAGCUCAAAUAUCACAUAAUUAACCGUUAAACUAACAACAUGUAAAGCGAAUAUAUCCUAAAAAUACAAUAUUUUGGCAAACAUCACAUCUCUUUACAAGUACUAUUCUUUGCUACACAUAUGUAUCUUCUUUUGUUCAAGAGCUACUUGAUGAAGUUUCAGUUCAAAUGAGAAAUGUAGACAUGCUUAUUCGUUAUGAACCGCCAUAUAAUGGAGUAUAAACAUGUUUUAUCACUAAAAUGCAUGUUUUAAAAGGAAUCUCGAGUAGCCGUUGAGUCGUAUAAUUUUUUUAUAAACAAGUGUCACUUGAACAUAGCCCCUGCUACUUAUUUAAUUAUUUGUUUCCAAACAAAUAUUUUUUCCUACGUCAACGUGGCGGCGGGGAGUAGUAUUGACUUCUUAAGCCUUUAUAUCCUACUCUUGAGCCAUACGUAAAUAUAUAAAGACAUUACACAUCCAGCUAUUCUUUCCCUUCAUUUCCUUUUGAUUUGGAAUUGUCACGACCCCAAAUGGCCGGUCAUAAUGAUACCUCUCGUGAAGAUAAGGUCAGCCAACAUAAUACUUACAUCAACCUUUUAAUCAUUAAAAAUAAUUUUUAGACCUUUAAUUAGAGUAAUAUUUCGUAAUAUAAAUCUGAAGAAAAAUAGUGCAGAAUUACUAUACAAGCCCCACAUUGAGAUGUCACUAAUCAUGAGCAUCUAUCAAGGUCUGAAUGCAACAAAAGUCUAAAAAUGUACAAAUACAGUAGUAUCAAUAUGAGGAAGGGAGUGGUGCUACGAACGUCAUGCAACCACCAGCUACCUCUGAUGGCUCCACGUUUGAGCAGAACAACACUCGCUAUCGGGUUCCGAUAUGCCUGCAUCUGUACACGAGGUACAUGGAGUAAUGUGAGUACUCCAACCCAGUAAGUAAUAAGAUUAAUAAAGGCUGAGCAAAAGGAAAUAAUGAAUCCAUAUUUACGUUAGGCUCAAUAAACACAACAGGCUUUCAAAUCAUAAUACGAUUCAACCUUCCCUUUUAAAAUUCAGCUUUUAGUAAAAAUCAUUUUGAAGUACUUUCCAGCAGUUUCAGUAGGGUUCAAUGCCAUUUAAAAUAAUAACAGAGAUUAAAGUCAUAAUCGGCCUCUCGGGGCAAAGCAUAGUUCAUAAAACAACCCAUCGGGCAAAACAAUAAUCAUAAACACUUCAUAACUCGAAAACCUCGAUGGAAAUAGCCAAAUGUUAAAUCUGUGAUUAAUUUCUGAACAUCUCAUAAACCCUAGUUUAAAUAAAAGUUGUUUUAAAAUAUUUAUUCGACAUUUCGAUAGAGGCUCAACAUAAAAAUGAGUGAAACAACCACUAAUUCAGCAUAUGCAAUAGAACUCAUGUUAAAGAGGAGUGAAAUCAAUAAAUUCAUAAACAGGCCUCUCAGGCAGACAUCACUCAUGUACAUGUAUAUAUCUAUCGCCGCAUGAGCUAGGCUCUCUUCCACUCAUGACUCAAAUAUUACCAAUCAGUAUUUGCACUCAACAUUCACGCUCAAUAGGUACCAUAUAAUAACUGUUGCGGCGUGCAGUCCGAUCCAUAUAUCGCUGCGCGCGUGCAGCCCGAUCCAUAUAUUUCAUCGACGGCGCUCACUGGGGGUGUGCAGACUCCUAGAGGGGCCUCUUACGGCCCAAGCGCAAUAUUGUUGCAGCAUGCAGCUCGAUCAAACAUAUCGCUGCGGCAUGCAACCCGAUCCAUAUAAGUAUCGAUGUGGCGUGCAACCCGAUCCAUAUAUAUAUAUAUAUGUAUAUAUAUAUAUAUAUAUGUAUGUAUAUAUAUAUAUAUAUAUAUAUAUAUAUGUAUNNNNNNNNNNNNNNNNNNNNNNNNNNNNNNNNNNNNNNNNNNNNNNNNNNNNNNNNNNNNNNNNNNNNNNNNNNNNNNNNNNNNNNNNNNNNNNNNNNNNNNNNNNNNNNNNNNNNNNNNNNNNNNNNNNNNNNNNNNNNNNNNNNNNNNNNNNNNNNNNNNNNNNNNNNNNNNNNNNNNNNNNNNNNNNNNNNNNNNNNNNNNNNNNNNNNNNNNNNNNNNNNNNNNNNNNNNNNNNNNNNNNNNNNNNNNNNNNNNNNNNNNNNNNNNNNNNNNNNNNNNNNNNNNNNNNNNNNNNNNNNNNNNNNNNNNNNNNNNNNNNNNNNNNNNNNNNNNNNNNNNNNNNNNNNNNNNNNNNNNNNNNNNNNNNNNNNNUAAUUGUUGCGGCGUGCAGCCCGAUCCAUAGAUAUAUAAUCCUCACAACUAGGCCCUCGGUCUCUCUUAGUCAUUAACCUCACCAUCAGACUCUCAGUCUACUCAGUAAAACACGGAACUCAGCCCAAAACAGUUUUCACACUUUUAAGAAUAUAGUGAUAAGCCAAAUUUGAGUGAUAGACAGUUAAAACAUGACUAAGGAUAUGCUUUCAAACAAAUAGAGUGAGGAUAGAUAGUAAAAAUGCUCUUAAGGGUCUCAAACAAGUCGGCACAAGGCCCCAAACAAGGCAUACAACCCAAAAUAUAAUAACAUCAAACAAUUAACUAUCAAGUACGCAUUAAAGUACUCAUUCAGGAUGGACUAGGUCACAAUCCCCAGUGGUGCUCUACCCCACGCUCGUCAUCUAGCGGGUGAGUCACCUCAAUGUAACACAACGAUGUGCAAUUUGGGUUUUCAAACCCUCAGAACAUUAUUUACAAUCAUUACUUACCUCGAACCGGCGAAAUCUCUAGCUCGCGAAACCCUUGCCCCUCAAAUUGGCCUCCACGCGCGUCGAAUCUACCCAAAAUAAGAACGAAUACAUCACAAUAUGCUAAGGGAACAUAGCCCAAGCAAAAACAAUAGAAAAAUAUCGAAAAAUCUUGAAAUUAGCAAAACCAUGGUCCCAGGCCCACUUCUCGAAACUCAAAAAUUUUAACAUCAACGGAUCCCCUAUCUCGCCACGAGUCCAUACAUACAACAAACUCUCAAAUCCGACCUCGAGUGACCCUUCAAAUUCCAAUUUAAAAUUUCACCAACCCAAGCCCUAGUUCUUCCUUUUUUAGCUAAAUUUCCAUGAAUUUCUAGGUUAAUUCCACAAAUAAAUCACGUUUUUUGUUAAUAGAACUUACCUCAAAUUAAUCGUCCUUGAAUCCCUCUUCAAUUUCUCCCAAAGAGCUCUCAAAAUGAUCAACUAUGGAGGAAAUAUGACUUAAGUUCGCAGAAUAAAAUAUUUAAAAAAACCUUCUGGCCAGCUGCUGAUUUUUUCUAUAUGAUUGCGGCCCAAGGCUCGUGAUCGCGAAGAGCAAAUUUUCCAUGACCUCAAAAUAAACUACAUGAACGCGAUAAAAUCCUCGAGAGUGCGAUGCAGCCUUUCCUCACACUACGCGAAUGCAAACCUGACACUGCGAACGCGAAGGCAAAGGCCCCUGGCCCUCAAAUCCUCCUUUGCGAAUGCGAAGCACCCAGGACUCACCCUCCACGAACGUGAAGCAUCAACCACGAACUCGAAGAAAAAAUCUUAGGCCUCCCAAAAUCCUUCUAUGAAAAUGUGGGGGACCUCCCGCGAUCGCGAAGGUCAAAAUUCCUCUACAAUAGCUGCUGCAUUUAUGCAAUUUCCUAAGUCCCAAAAACCUUCCGCCAGCCAUCCGAAACUCACCCGAGACCCUGGGACCUCAACCAAAAGUAUCAAAGCAUCCUAUGCAUCAUUCAAACUUGUUUCAAUCAACAAAACACCUCAAACAACACCAAAAAGCAUCAUUUCACAUUGAAUUCAAGCCUAAGUCUUUCCAAAAACUUCUGAAACACUCAUUCGAUCGAAAACCCAACUAAACCACGUCCGAAUGACCUGAAAAUUUGCACACACAUCAAAAAUGACAUAACAAAGCUACAAUAACUCUCGGAAUUCCAUUCCGACCCUCAGAUCAAAAUCUCACCUAUCAACCGGAAUUUGCCAAAAUACUAACUUUGCCAAUUCAAGCCAAAUCCUUCCACGGACUCCCAAAGUGCAUUCCAAUCGCACUGCUAAGACAUAAAUCACUUAACAAAGCUAACCGAAUCAUAAAAAUUCCUAUCCAAACUCAUAUACAAAUAAGUCAACCCUUGGUCAAACCUUUCGAAUUCAAAGCUUUCGACUGAGACUGUUCCUUCAAGCUCAUUCCAAUUUUUUCUGAAAACCAAAACAAACGAUGGACAUCAGUCACACUACAUUCCACGGGUAAGUCAUGCUCGAGAACUGACGAUCAAGAUGCAAAAGCUCGAAACGACCGGUUGGGUCGUUACAGGAAUAUUGUAGGAAUUUUUAUCUCCUAUAGCAAAUGUUGAUACCUUAUUUAUUUUAAAUAAAUAUUAUUUUUAAAAUUAUAUUCCAUAGCUACCUUUUUAAUUUUUAUAGUCAAAUAUUUACUUAUGGUCACCUCCUACCCUUGUUGCCCUCUCUUUCAUAAAAUACGUUGCUCUCUCUGUUUCAACCAUCUCUCUCAACACCAGUUUUCUCCAUGAAUACAAACUCAGAGAUUCUCUCUCAUCAGUUCCCCCGUCGAUCGUUCUUUUGAGUAGUCAACAAGAAUUAUUUUGCAUCUAUUUUCUUCAAGAAUUUUGAAGAAUCAAUGAUAAAGAUGGAUAAAUUGGAGUCCUUACUGAAAAAAUAGGCGAAAUUAGAAAAUAUUGUGUCCUUAGAAACUAAGAGAAACAAAUCUAAACAAACAUUAUAAGCUCUACUGUUUCACUGUUUGUCUCUAUUCAAAUGGGAUAUACAAUUGGCCCAAAAGCAACUUCAAUUCAGAUUCAACUACCGCCGUCGUUGUCAAGCCCCUAUGUCCUUCUUAGGGCUUUGCAACGUGAGAUAUCCAAGCGCACGUGGGGUAUUAUGGUAACAGGAACAGUGGUGUUUAGAGUCAGAAUUGCGGCUCGCUCGAUGAGACGAUAUUAGGGUUGUUCUUGAACAAAGACGUCAGAGUUUGGAUCUAAGCAAUUUGAAGAUAGUAUUUCAAUGUAUCUUGUUGAUUUCCAUGUAUUUCAUUGUAUUCAUUGUCUUUUUUAUUGUAUUUCAAUGUAUCUCGCUGUAUUCCAUGUAUUUCACUGUAUUCACUAUCUCGCUGUAUUUCAUGAAUGCAUUUAUAUAUAUUUUAAAUAAUAUAAUUUAUGUAUUCAGAUGUGUGUGUGUACAUAUAUAUAUNNNNNNNNNNNNNNNNNNNNNNNNNNNNNNNNNNNNNNNNNNNNNNNNNNNNNNNNNNNNNNNNNNNNNNNNNNNNNNNNNNNNNNNNNNNNNNNNNNNNNNNNNNNNNNNNNNNNNNNNNNNNNNNNNNNNNNNNNNNNNNNNNNNNNNNNNNNNNNNNNNNNNNNNNNNNNNNNNNNNNNNNNNNNNNNNNNNNNNNNNNNNNNNNNNNNNNNNNNNNNNNNNNNNNNNNNNNNNNNNNNNNNNNNNNNNNNNNNNNNNNNNNNNNNNNNNNNNNNNNNNNNNNNNNNNNNNNNNNNNNNNNNNNNNNNNNNNNNNNNNNNNNNNNNNNNNNNNNNNNNNNNNNNNNNNNNNNNNNNNNNNNNNNNNNNNNNNNNNNNNNNNNNNNNNNNNNNNNNNNNNNNNNNNNNNNNNNNNNNNNNNNNNNNNNNNNNNNNNNNNNNNNNNNNNNNNNNNNNNNNNAUACAAUUUGCUGUAUUUUUGUUGUAUUUAUUGGCUGAGAAAAAUAUUCAGCACAUUUUCUCUGAAGAUUAUUAUAUUUUUGGGGAAUUUUUCGUUUGAGAAUCUAUUUUAUAAAAUUUGUGUGUUAUAAUUGAGUUUAUUGAGUUAUAUUAGAAGUCGAUUAUGUUAAUUGAUUCCCUUUCGUUUAAAUCAAUUGUAAUCCCCUGUUUCACGUUGUGAAUACAGUCGAAUACAAAAGUAUGUCUAGCUAUAAUCUCAUGUUUCACGCCUAGAAAUGCUACUGUAUUCAACUAAAUUAUAGUGGUUUUUGAAAGUAUUAAUAUUAUAUUUUGUAGGGGAUCAUCAAGUUGAGCCGGGCUUCUCUUUGUUUUAGUUUUUAAAUAACAUUGGGAUAUUAUAACGACCCGACGGUCGUUUUGAGCUCUAGCAUGUCGUUCAAAAGCCUGAGACCAUAAACAACUUCGUUUCAAAUAUUAUGACCUGUACGCAUGGUUGGAAUUAAUUUUUGGGAAGUUCAGAGUUGAUUAGCAAAGAGAAUUCUCAUUUCGGAAGCUUAAAGUUGAAAGAAUUAACUAGGAUAGAAUUUUGAGUAAACAACCUGGAAUCAGGAUCUGAAGGUUCCAGCAAGUUCGUAUGAUGAUUUCGGACUUGGACGUAUGCCCGGAUCGGGUUUUGGACAACCCCGGGAGCGCUUUGGCGCCUAUUGUGGAAAGUAGCAUUUUGAAAGAAAUUUCAUAAGUUUGGGUUGAAGUGAAUUUCAGUGAUAUCGAUGUCCGUUUGGGAUUCCGAGUCUAGGAGCAGCUCCGCAUUGUGAUUCUGGAGUUGGGAGCACGAUCGGAAGUGAAUUUGGAGGUCCAUAGGUCAUUUUGGAGUCAUUUGGCUAAAGAUGUAAAUUUCAAGGUUUUUGAGAAGUUUGACCGAGAGUUUGAUUUUUUGAUAUCGGGGUCGGAUUCUAAUUCUGAAAGUUUGAGCAGAUCCAUAAUGUCGAUUAUGAUUUGUAUGCAAAAUUUGAGGUCAAUCGGACGUAAUUUGACGGGUUUCGGCAUCGAAUGUAGAAGUUUGAAAUUUCAAAGUUCACAAAGCUUGGAUUGGGGGUUGACUCAUGAGUUUAGCAUUGUUUGAUAUGAUUUGAGGCCUCGAUCAAGUCCUAAAUUUAUUUUGGGGUUGGUUGGUUGGGGGUCUCGGGGGCCUCGGGUGUGUUUCGGGUUGUAUCCCGCUCGUAUUUGAUGUUUUUACGUUGUUUCUUUGGACAUAAAGGGGAACCAUAUUAAGCAAAUGAGCUCCAAAUUAAGAUUUUAUUAAAACCGUUAGAUCCGUAUCAUAAUUUCGGAGCCAUAUAAAAAAGAAUCAUCGAAUUUGGACAUCGUAUGAGGAAUUUAUGCUCAUUUCCGUGUUGAAAAAGUGUUGGUUGCUCAGAAGCAGAAAUUUUCCGCAGAAACGGGACCGCGAAAAUGGAAAUUUUUCCGCAGAAGCGAAAACUGCUAGAGGUAGAGAGAUUUCUUUAAAACUCAAAGUUUGGCUCAUUUUCACUUUAUUUCUUCCAUGGGAGCCGAUUUUGGAGCAACUUUGGAGUGUCAUUUUCAUCAUCAAGCAUGAGGUAAGUGAUUUCUACUAGUUUUGAGUAUAUACAAGGUUUAUAUAUGGAUUUAGUGGAGUGUCAUUUUCAUCACCAAGCAUAAGAUAAGUGAUUUCAACUGAUUUUGAGUUAAACACAAGUUUUAUAUAUGGAUUUAGACAUGGAAAUUUGUAUAAAACUUGGGGUUUGAGGAAAACCUAGAAAAUUAGUAUUCUUAGAUUUUGACUAUGAUUAUGAGUAUGGAAUUAAGAGAAAAUCAUAUAUUCGAGUUCGUGAGUUCAUGGGAAAACUUUAUCUUCGGAAAAUUUCAGAUUCCGGGCACGUAGGCCCUAAGGAAUUUUUAUCAACUUUUUGAUCGGGUUUAGGAAUUAUUAUAAAUUAGAUUAUAAUGAGUACCUUAGCAUAUAUUAAUGGGUUUACAUAAUUAUUGGCUAGUUUUGGAGUGUUGUUGUAUUGAUUCGAGUCUUCGGAAAGGUGUGAAAUGUCGGUUAUGGAUCUUCGGAGCAAGGUGAGUCUCCUUUCUAACAUUGUAAGAGAUAAAUAUUCACAUACGUGAAUUAAUUGAUUAUGUGGUCCUAUUUGUGGGGGCUACGUACGCACGAGGUGAUGGGAGUCCAUGCGUAGCUACUAUUAUGUUUAAGUCUGGGUAGUCUAGGACCCAAAAAGCAUGUUAUACUUGGAAUAUUUGUAAACUUAUUGACCGCUUGCAAUUAUGUUUAAGUCUGGGUAGUCUAGGACCCAAAAAGCAUGUUAUACUUGGAAUAUUUGUAAACUUAUUGAGCGUUUGAAUUGCUUAAAUCACAUCAAAACAGUAAAUGGAUUUCAAAAGGAUUAAACAUCAUUUUCUUGACCGUUAAAGAGAAUUGCUAUUUCUUUGGGUAAUUAUUUUUCCUUGACAAAGUCUUGAUUGACAAUUUGAAUGCAUGCUUCAAUGUGUACUGCAUCAUGGGUGAUUCGCGAGCGAGAUGUUGUUUAUUUAUAUUUGACCGCAUCAUAUGGAUGAUUCGCGAGCGGGGUAAUAGAUGCAUCUGUGGUUCUUGCCGUUCGACACUCGGCAGUGCACAAUUUACUUUUAUGUUGGAUCGGGCCAUACAUCCUACGGUGGUUGUUUGCGCGUUGGUAUUAUUUACUUGAACUUAUUAAAGUUGUUACUGCCUCUUCAUGGCUUGAGAAUAUUUGGAAAACAAUGAAAAAGGAGUUUGGAAAUUUCCUAUAAAAGGAAUAAUUGUCUAUUGUUUUCCUGCUAUUUGGUAAAAUCAUGUUUGUAGAAAUUCAUGCUUUAAUGUAUUAUUGACAUCAUUGUUGGACCACUAGUAAGUGUCGAAGUUGACCAUCUCGUCUCUACUUCUUCGAGAUUAGACGGGAUACUCAUUGAGUACACGUGGUUUGCGUACUCAUACUACACUUCUGUGCAUUUUGUUGCACAGGUAUACGUAACUCUAGUGGCCUACUGGGCAUAGCAGCACGGAUUAUUCUGGCACUAGGUGAGUUGCAUUAUUCAAGGUGGCCUACAGCUAGUAUAGUCCCUUCCACUGUAUUGUAUUUACUUCACGUCCAUUGUAUUCCGGAUGGGUAUUGUAUUUUAUUUCCCUAUCAGUAGAUGCUCAUGCACUUGUGACACAGGGUUCUAGGAUGAUUUUAAAAUACUUUGUACUAAUUGCUUAUUAUUUAAUUUGAAUUGAAGUAGUAAUCUUUUUAAUUAUGAAAAAUUGAAGGAAAAUCCUAGAUUUCAAAAGUAUUAAAAUGAGAGUUUGAUUAAGUGAUUUGGUUGGCUUGCCUGAGAGCAGUGUCCGGUGCCACCACGACCCUUUGUGGAUUUUGAGUUGUGACAACAUGGUAUCAGAUCACUAGGUUCCCUUAGGUCUCACGAGUCAUGAGCAAGUCUAGUAGAGUCUCGCGGAUCGGUACGGAGACGUCUGUACUUAUCUUCGGGAGGUUAUAGGGCUAUUAGAAGUACUUCCCUUCUUGAUUUAUUAUCCUGCAAUUUGAUUUCUAUGAGGCUUAUGCCUUUGUUCCUUUCCUACUUAAUCUUAUGCGAUGCGAGGCGCUUGUUAUAAAUCAAAAAUUGAAGAAUUGUAAUGGCAUUACGAAUGUGGUGCGGGUGUUUCUCCCUGCGGGGUUAUUUGAGUUAUUACCGUCGCCUUGUGGAAGGAUAUUUUGUUAUUUCGGCUUAGUACCAAUAUUUCAGAGAGACUUGAGGCUAGGCAAAGAUUUCCAUGAUGCUUAUGAGCGAUUAUUCUGCAGUAUUAUUAUGAUAGUAGGAUGUUUGCCUAUGUGUCGAGACAGUGAAUGACUUGAAGGGAGGUUUACUCAGUGCAUGAUCUAGAGAUUCAGUGUUUUAUUCCCGGUAGAGGAAAGGCAAUCGGGCAGAGAAUGUUCAGGUUUGGGCUGAUAAGGUAUCGAGACUUGAUGUUUGCUAGCGUGGUGGAAGUUUUCUUCUAUGAUGAGGUGUUGUUGUCCUUAUUGAAUGUACUAGAUUCGCCGGUGUUAUGGUCUUCUACAAUUCGCCUUUGGAGCAGGAUAUUGCAGGUCAGUAUUAAAGAAGCGACUGUCAGAUGUCACGAGGCAAGGUGGUUCAGGGUCAAAUAGUCAUGUAUAAUAUUGGCAGCUUGAGAGAGAUGAUCUCCGUCAAAAUUUAAAGUUAGUAGUGAUUGUGAAUUCAAGUGCUACGAAGAUAGAUUUUAAUAAGGUAAUAACUGAAUAGCAAAGGAUGAGGAAAGAUGUAUGGAAAGUGUCAGACGGUAGCUAAAGUUCCUAGAAGGCCAGGUUUAUGGAGUAAAGGUAAAGUAGUUGAUUAAAGAAGUGAGUUUUCCCAAAGUGGGAGAGUGGCGGAGUUGCAUAUGGGCUUGGUGGUAGGAUGAUUACGCACCUUAAGGAGAGUUUGGAUCGAUUUGAGAAUUUUAGUGAUUGGUGAUUGGGGUCUACGGAUCUAAUUUGAAGUAUGGGCUAAUAUGUAGCAAAGAGAUCGGUUGUGCGAAUGUGGUUGGUGAUUCAGAGUAUAUAAAGGGGGUCUUUGCGGAAGGAUUCCGAGAAAUUUUAGUGGUUGAUUGUGCAAGGUUAUGGCUAUAAGAGGUAACGAAUUCUAGUGAAUUCUAGAGUUGUGUAAUAGUGGUUUUGAGCUAAGUGGGAGAGUCCCAACGUUUAUGAUUGGGUUGCAUAAUUAACCACUUGCGAGGUUUCUAGUUAUUAGCAUAUUGACAGGUUAUAUUCAGCUACAGGAAAAGAACAUAAGUGGUGAUUUGAACAAAAGAAUUAUUAAAUGGUGCUAUGGUUGGCCUUAUUGGCUAAUGUUCAGCCUAGGAGAAGGAUUCAAGACUUAUGCCUUGUAUGGAUGCGGGUUUCGAGGGGAGAGAUUCCGCCGGGUGCCUCGUCGAGAGGAUAUUCAUGUGUUAUAAGAUUUAUGGAGAUGCAAUCUCAGGUAAUAGAGUUAUAUACUGGGUAUCAACCACACUUCAAUACCUAGUCAAAUUCAGAAAACCAAGCUUUAAAAAAUGUACCACAUAAAUGGACUGAUUUGCUUCAAUUAGUGGAACAAUACACACCCAAGUUGAAAUAUACUAAGUUAUGGGAGUUACUUGAGCAAGGCUGGAUAAAGGCCAAUACUGAUGGAGCAUCUAGGGGUAAUCCAGGUAAGAGUUCCAUAGGCUAUAUGUUGAGGAAUGAAGAAGGGAAUGCAGUCUAUGCAUGUGGAAGAGAAAUAGAGGAGGGUACAAAUAUAGAAGAUGAGGUAAAAGCUAUCCUAUAAGCCUUAAGGUACUGUGUUGAACAUGAUUACCUUCUUAUUGACUUGCACAUUGAUUCAGUGCUAGUCAAGAAUGUACUAACAGGAGAAUGGAAUGUACCAUGGGCUGUUGUAGUACAUGUGGAGGAAUUAAAGGAGCUGAUGGAAAGAUGCAACUUGAGGAUAUCUCAUACAUUGAGGGAAGGAAACCAGCUAGCAGAUCAUAUAGCCAAUUAUGCUUUGGAUGUUGGCUCAAUGGAGUGUAAUGGAUUUGGAGAUCUGGAUGUCAAAGAAAGGAAAAUUGUGAAUAGUGAUAAAUUACAAUGCCCAUACAUAAGAGUAAAGGUUACAGGAACAUAGGAGAAGAGGAGGAAAGGAGUAGCAGGAGCAGGGGAAAUUCUAGGAGGCUACACGCUCAUCAUACUAAAAUCCAUGUGGAGGAGAAUAUGGUGAAUUUGUUUAUUGCUAACCUAGUUUUCUUUUUUGCAGGGAACGUUACUGUGGUCAUGCCCCAUCUUUUGAACAACUCCCAUUUGGUGGUAUUAGUACUAUGUACUCAUUCCAAUGGGAGGGAAGCAAGGAUGGGCAUAAGCAUGGCAUGGAAUUUACAUAAUGAAAAACUGGGCUACUAUGUGCUUAGGGAGGAGCUGUGGCAUGCUUCUCAUGAUCAAGGCACCUUAUUGAUAAGGAAUGCAACAUGCUCAACGACAGAUUGCAGAAUAUAAGAUAACAUGGAUGCAACAGAAUAUCAGUCACACUCUAACAGUAGAUUGAUACGACCAUGUGAUCAAAGGGACUACACAAGCAACACACGAUGGAAAAUAUACAGAUGCUAUACACAUACAACAUUUGCGAUAUGCAGGCAAGAUAACCCUGAAGGAAGUUCACACAUACGGGUAGGGUUCAAACUGCAAUUCUGGUCAUAGCAUACCAAGUUCAACAUAAUUCCCAGGUAUUUAUGGUCGAGGGUGUGUAUUUCAGAGGUUUCUAUGGGCUAUGACAAUGGGACAACAAGGAGUUACAUAACAGAUACUUCAGCUAGGACAAACAAUGAAUACAAGAUAGAGAAGAACUGGAUUUCAAACACAAAGAACAUCUGUGAAGUUUGGAAACAAAACAGCUCAGUUACUAGGAGUUCAAUUAGAUGGUUAGGCCAGAAAUGGAUAUUACUGUUGGAAGUGCUAGCUAGCGACAAAUUUUCAGCAAACGACAUGGAUCAAUCAACAACUACAAUCAUCACAAGGCUUAGAAUUUUCAGAAGACACAACCAACAAGACAUGCACACGAGCCAGUUACAAUGUUGGAAAUAUAGCCAGUUUUGUAACUUUUAGAUUUUUAGUCCUUCCAUAGUACAAUAUGUGAUAUCAAUUUUGAGUCUACUAUUCAAGAUUGAUAAUAGAGAUUAUAUAAGUAUAAUAGGUAGCCAUUUAAAAUUUUUAGUCACAUUGACAAUAUAUUUUUACAUUAUUUUAAAUAUAUAUAAAAUUUAGCCCUAGGCACCUUGUCUAAGUAGAUUUUUUAAAAAAAAACUCCCAACCGUUUAUAUCAAGAGCUCACUUUUUCUACAAGAUUUAGGUAGUUGGUUCGGGAACAUAGAUAGCCGGGUUAGAGAUGCUGGCGAUUGUGAAAUUGAAGAAAGAAAUAUAGGGUUGGUUAGAUCAAUAUGGCAAGCUUGCUAGCGAAUCAAUCAAGUGACUUUAUACCACAAAUGACCUAGGUAAAGAAAGUUUCAAAUCUGCCCAAUUCCAUAUUCAGUCCGGCAAGCUCGUAGCACCGGAAAAAGUUCAGAUGAAUGAAAUCAAUUUACAGGGGUACAAAAUCCCUGUUUGAAGGGAAGAUGAUGCAAAUUUUGAACGUUUUGCUAAACAACAACAACAACAACAAUUACCCAGUAUAUUCUCGCCAGGUGGGGUCUGGGGAGGGUAAUAUGUAGACGAGCCUUACCCCUACCCGAAAGGGUAGANNNNNNNNNNNNNNNNNNNNNNNNNNNNNNNNNNNNNNNNNNNNNNNNNNNNNNNNNNNNNNNNNNNNNNNNNNNNNNNNNNNNNNNNNNNNNNNNNNNNNNNNNNNNNNNNNNNNNNNNNNNNNNNNNNNNNNNUUCCAUUCGACCCUCGGCGCAUAGGAUAAAAUGAAAAGCUGCAUCAAAACAAAAAUAAAAACAAAGACAAAUUUAGAAACAAAAACAAGACAAAACAAAACAAUAGAGCAUUACUAAAUCCCGCAGAAAUAACGUAAAUAAUUAUGUAAACCUUAAAAACAUAAAUACAGUCGCAUGCAAUAAUAACAAACCGUAAUUACCAUACUAACAACCAUAAGGGGACAUAAGCUACAACACUAAUCAUCUAUGGGUGACCCUGCUAGCCCACACCCAGCCCCAAGAGAGGCGUACGAAGAACUCUAUGAGCCCUUAGCCUCCAACCCUGAUACUAGACCUCCAGACUCCCCUAUCAAGGGUCAUGUCCUCGGUAACAUGCAUUCUAGUCAUGUCCUGCCUAAUCACCUCUCCCCAAUGCUUCUUAGGCCUCCCUCUCCCACGCCGACCACCAACAAUCUCCAGCCGCUCGCAGCUCCUCACCGGGGCAUCGGGACCCCUCCUCCGUACAUGCUCGAACCACCGCAAUACCCGCAUCUUCUCAUCCACCGGUGCCACCCCUACCUUCUGUCGAAUAAUUUCAUUCUUAAUCUUAUCUAGCCUGGUGUGCCCACACAUCCACCUAAGCAUCCUCAUCUCCGCAACCUUCAUUCUCUGAACAUGGGAAACGUUUUGCUAAACAAAAAGGAAUAGGAGAAUCUUGUUACGUU